CUUUUUUAAGUAAUGAGCCUAUCCUCUAUCUUCUUUUUUAUGUUUAUAUUUCAAUAUACCGAAACCUAUAUAAGACUAGAUAAAUAUUAAGAGGACUCUUCCGCCUAGAUAAAAAUAUAUCAUGGUCAGCAAAGUUGUUUCUUUAUUUUUAUUUGCCCUCUUUAAUAAUUUCAAUUUCAUUAAGAAAAACUAACUAAAUAAAUGGAAAAUGAAAAUUAAUAGAAUUCUUUUUUUUCUUCAAAUCCAAAAAAUUUCUCUUUUUUAUACAUAGGUCGUCGAUUCGGCAUUGGUUAAAAAAGGGCAGGGUGCCCCCCUUUUUUUCUAGUAAAUAGUUCAAACCAUUUUAUCGAUAUGAGUGUUCUAUAUCAGAUAAAUUUUACAUUAGCUAUUUCCCGUUUAAAUUCGGUACUAAUACUAAUAUAGUUGUAGAAAGAGUACCUCUUUUUGCCUGGACUUCAAGCAGUUUAGCUUUAACCAUGUUAAUGGUCUCACAUUCUUGGUUUAUAGAGAAUCAAAGUUGAUUUACCAAUGAGUCGCGAAAUGCUAUGGUUCUUCCAUAUGAUUUCUGAAUUUAUUCAGAAGUAAUUCGUCGAGAUCGUGCACCCUUUUCUUAUUUAUCCGAAAAAUACUAAAAAAUAUUAUAAAGUGCAGCCGGAUAGAUCCAAUCUAUUCUUGAAAUAGACAACUCGCACACACUCCCUUUCCAAAAAAAAUCAAAACACCAACCACUACAGUUAGAUUUAUUAGAUUUGUUGCUAAAAUAUCGGUAUUAAGCCCGAAACUGCCAGCGGAUGGCCAGUGAGCUAAAAAAACGAAAGAAUGGGUUACAUUUUUCAUAUGCUCUCCUCUUAUAGAUAGGACGAACAAAGAACAAAGUUUUUCGAUCACUUACUUCGCUCGCCCUUUUUUGAUCGGUUUUUUUUAAUGCAAAUAGAUUCAAUCUAGUAAUUUCUUUUAGAUUACGUCUUACGUCUUGUUUGACCGGUGAAAGACUUCCUUUGUUGAAAUGUUCUGUUCCCAAAAUUCCUAAAAUAAAAGGAAAAAACUUUCCACUUUCCUAAACUAAGGACGGGAAAUAAGAAGGUGAGCAUAUCUUCUAAAUUAAUAAUACUCAACUCAGCCCUUCCUAGAAUGGGGUAUUAUCUAUCCCGAUAAAUAGAUAAUUCCAGGAGUAAUAAAUAGGAGUAAAUUAAAUAAAGUAUUGAUAUAAUUGGAAUUGCGGAAGCAAAUACCAAUUUACUAAAAAAAGAAAAAAGUAUCUAAUCGAAAUCGAAAGAAUUUUUUUUAAGAUUAAACAAAAGGGUUCACAAAUAAAAGCGCUAGUGCCACAACUAGUCCAUAAAUUGUUAAAGCUUCCAUAAAAGCUAGACUAAGCAAUAAAGUACCUCGUAUUUUACCUUCUGCUUCUGGCUGUCUCACAAUACCUUCUACAGCUUGUCCUGCAGCAGUACCUUGACCAACUCCAGGUCCAAUAGAAGCAAGCCCUACGGCCAAUCCAGCAGCAAUAACAGAAGCAGCAGCAAUUAGUGGAUUCAUGGUGAGUAGUUCCUCGUGUCAAAAAAAAGAAAUGGUUAAGGAUACAAUCAACCAAUAAAUUCUUACUUCUAAGCUCUAUUGGGGAGAAGUAAAGUAACUAAAAAGUACAAAUUGAAAUCAAAUUGAAAUGAUAAUGUGAAUUGUCCGAACUACAUAGAAGGGAAUUCCAUAUCCAUAUAUCGGAUUAGAUAAUGAAUCUAACCUAGGAAUAUAUAUUAUAAUAUCCUAUAUAUACAUUUGUUUCUUCUAUUUUGUUUGCAUAUUUUCUCAUUUUCUAUUGAAUUGGAUUCUAAAAUCAUUGCUUAAAGUGGAAACCCGCAUAAAAGAGGACUCCACUUAUAGACAUUAAGGAUAUUAUAGUAUAGAUCUAGCCUGACUCCACCCUCCUUAAUGCAUAUAUACUUUGAAAAUUCCAUAAUAUUGUCUAUUCUAUUCUCUCUCCUACAACUCUAGGCUAUAUAUUCAUACGCAUUUCUAACUAUUUUUUUGCAACCAAGCAGAUUAUCCGGAACCAUGCAUGAAUUGAGCUAAGCUGCAAAAAAAUACUAUUUCCAAAAAUAGUCAAUUCAAUGAUGACCGUCCAUGGAUUCACCUAUAUAGGCUGCGGCUAAUGUUGCAAAAAUAAGAGCUUGAAUACCGCUUGUAAAUAAUCCAAGAAACAUGACCGGUAUAGGGAUUACUAAGGGGACUAAAGAAACAAGAACAACAACGACUAAUUCAUCCGCCAAUAUAUUCCCGAAAAGUCGAAAGCUAAGUGACAAUGGUUUUGUGAAAUCUUCUAGGAUGUUAAUUGGUAAAAGGAUUGGAGUUGGUUUAAUAUAUUUCUCGAAAUAGCUCAAUCCUUUUUUGCUAAGACCAGCAUAAAAAUAUGCCGCUGACGUGAGUAAAGCUAAAGCAACAGUAGCAUUUAUAUCAUUCGUGGGCGCUGCUAAUUCCCCAUGGGGUAACUCUAUAAUUUUCCAAGGUAAAAGAGCACCCGACCAAUUCGAAACAAAAAUAAAAAGGAACAUAGUUCCAAUAAAGGGAACCCAGGGACCAUAUUCUUCUCCAAUCUAAGUUUUGCUCAAGUCUCGAAUAAACUCAAGGACAUAUUCAAAAAAAUUCUGACCGUCGGUCGGGAUGGUUUGUGGAUUCCGAACAGCUAUGACAACUGAACCUAGCAAGAUAGUAAUUACGACCCAAGAAGUGAUGAGUACUUGGGCAUGAAUCUGGAAACCUCCUAUUUGCCAAUAGAAGUGUUGGCCUACUUCUACACCCGAUAUAUCGUAUAACCCCUUGAGUGUUUUAAUGGAACAAGGUAUAAUAUUCAUAUUGUCCUCUGAUAAAAAUUGAACUUCAAAAAAGGAAUUCUUUUGAUUCAACCAUCUCUUUCUCAACUCAGCAACUUGAAGUAUUAAUCUUAUAUUUAGGAUACCAAGAAAGCACAUCAGAUCAUAAUAUAUAUCAAUACCCUCUAAUAUAUAUUAAUAUUCCCCUUCUUUUUUCUAUGCAAAAAAAUUCUAUGCAAAAAAAAGAUAUAGUAAAGUAAGUGAUUCCAUAAAUUUACGCAGUUGCCCAAGAAUUCACUAUAUAUUCUUAAUCAACAAUUUCUUAUAUAGAGAGAAUGGCCCUCACAAAUUGAAAAUACUAAUUUGUUAAGAAUCAAUCGAAUUGAAGUCAUAGUGUCAUCGUUGGCUGGAAUCGAUAUAUUCGCGACCCUCAUGAUGAAUAUGAGAUUGAUAAUAGUGUUUGCAAUAAUAUUGAAAGUGGGUUUGGAAGAGUGUCAACUUUAGAUCCCACAUAUUUGGAGUAUGUUCAAUCUUAUAAUAUUUUUGAUAAAAGUGGGUUUGGAGAGGUCAUGACUUUAGUUAAUUUUAAUCCUACUAUCUUGGAAGAGUGUCAACUUUGCAUGCAUGUGGAUUGUGUUAAGAAUAUGUUAUGUGAUAGCUAUUUUGCUGAAUUUGCCUAUGAUCCUACCUGUAAUUAUUAUGAGAGAGGAAAAUAUGGUCAUAGAAAAUUUUAUCUUACUAAAUUACCUCUCAUCACGUUGAGAUUGCUAUUGUCUCUUUCUUAUUCCUUGCAUAUGCUAGUUUUUGUUUGCCUUGCAAAUUUGUUUGCUUAUAAUAUGCCUAUGCAUCGGAAGUAUGUUAGACUUAGAUGUGGUUGUCACGUGUUUCAUGAUGCUCUCUUUGCGCUUCAAUUCUUGUCUUUCAUGUGAGCAUCAUUAAAAUUAUCAAUGCGUAGCUAAAAGUCUUUAAAGAAAAGCGCUUGUUGGGAGACAACCCAAUAUUUUUCCUUGCUGUUAUUCAACAAAUUUUGCAUCUACCUUCUGUUUAGAUGUGUUUUCAUGUUUUAAUUAGUGUUUGUGCUAAGUAGAACCUAUAGGAUAACCUACACUACAAAAAAAAGACACAUCCAUAAUAUUUUGGGCCGAACGAAUUUUUUUCUGUCAUACUUAUGACACUUCUAUGAUGAUAAUUGUGACAAAACCUGGUAUCAUCAUAGAUGUGGUGGGAUGCUACUUCUAUGACAAGAAAUCAUGACAGAAAAUGGGCUUUUCGUCUCGGGCGUGCCGGAGACGCAGCUGCAUGACAUUCUUUGGGCCGUCCAUGACGGAAAAACCGUGGAAGAAGCAAGGGCGAGGAAAAUUUCAGGGAGUUCCCGGUUAUGGUGGGUGGUCGGGGGCCGAGCGAUGCACGUUUCUCUCGUACACAUACGCGUGUGUGUGCGAGGCAUUGGCUCUAACUGAACCCGAGCGAGGCGUUGGCCUCUAACUGAACCCGAGCGAUUGCACUGCAGGCUACGCAUUACUGAACCCGAGCGAUUGAUCGAUGGCUGUUAACUAAACCUGAUCGAGCGAUUCCUUCGCUACUGCUGCUAACUGAAGCCAAUCGAUGCUGCCUCUUUGGAUGNNNNNNNNNNNNNNNNNNNNNNNNNNNNNNNNNNNNNNNNNNNNNNNNNNNNNNNNNNNNNNNNNNNNNNNNNNNNNNNNNNNNNNNNNNNNNNNNNNNNNNNNNNNNNNNNNNNNNNNNNNNNNNNNNNNNNNNNNNNNNNNNNNNNNNNNNNNNNNNNNNNNNNNNNNNNNNNNNNNNNNNNNNNNNNNNNNNNNNNNNNNNNNNNNNNNNNNNNNNNNNNNNNNNNNNNNNNNNNNNNNNNNNNNNNNNNNNNNNNNNNNNNNNNNNNNNNNNNNNNNNNNNNNNNNNNNNNNNNNNNNNNNNNNNNNNNNNNNNNNNNNNNNNNNNNNNNNNNNNNNNNNNNNNNNNNNNNNNNNNNNNNNNNNNNNNNNNNNNNNNNNNNNNNNNNNNNNNNNNNNNNNNNNNNGGACCCCUUGGCGUUGCCUCUGGAUGAACAGGACUCCGAUCGAUCGAGCCAGUUGGGGCUGGAUGAAUAGGACCCCGUGGAGGGCUGGAUAAACUUGACGACCCCGUGGAGGGCUGGAUGAAUAGUAGACAGUGGAGGGGGUGGAUGAACAGGAGCCCGUGGAGGGGUGGUUGAACAGGAGCCCGUGGAAGGGUGGUUGAACAGUAGCUGGUGGAGUAGCAUGCGGUGGAGGCUGGAUGAACAGGAGCCCGUGGAGGCUGGAGGAGGUCGACGGUGGAUGAACAGUAGUCCGUGGAGGCUGGAGGAGGUCGAUGGUGGAGAUGAACAGUAUCCCGUGGAGUCCUGUUUUGCGGUACGCCACACCCCUCCCGAUGAAUAGAACCCCCGUUUCGAUGGUAGCGCUCCAACACAAGUCCGUUUCGUCCGUUUUGCAGUACACCACACCCCUCCCGAUCAACAAGACCCCUGUUUUGACCGUAGGAGGCCCGUUUCCUCCGUUUUGCGGUACGCCAGACCCCUCCCGAUGAACAGGAUCCCGUUUCGAACAUGGCCGGUCGAACACAAGGCCGUUUCCUCCGUUCUGCGGUACGCCAGGCCUCGUUUCCAUCGCAUGUUCCGUCCAAGCCCUCCAGAUGAACACGACGACGCAUUCCGUUCCGACCCAGUCAGUUGGCUCCCCAUGAACACGGCGAUGACACUAUUUCUCCGUUCCGACCCAGCCAUGUACACGAGCCCUGGCCGUACGUAUGCGCGAGUAGGCGUUCGAGACCCCGCCCGUAUGUACACAUAUGUGGCCGUAUUUUCUUUCUUGCACACUGACCGCUGUACGUACGAGUACAUGGUACGUGCGCGCCUCUACUACAACACGUACGUGCCUCUACUAUGACACGUGCAUGCCUCUACAUCCACCAGUAUGUACGUACACGUUCGCGAUCAGAAUGACAACGCUACGUACGCUUUGACCAGGUGGGUCCCGACUGUCAGACACUUCCUUGCGUGCGAAGAUGUAGCUGGUGGGUCCCAGCAGUCAGGGGGGCGAAUCAUUUUCUCGGACGCACUUCCUUGUGUGCAAAGAUGUAGCUGGUGGGUCCCAGCAGUCAGGGGGAAACGUUUUUUUGCGAAUUACAGUGGCCCGUCCGGUGGGUCCCAGCUGAGGUGGAGGAAUCAUUAUUUUCCGCGUAAUAAGGAGGCACUUCCUUGCUGCGGUCGUGGACCCAGCUGUCAGCCUCUCCACGUACAGUCCACGUCCGAUGGAAGUUGUUCCUUGACCACGUUGACCACGCCGCGCCGAGAGCACCACGGCGGUGGACGACGGCGAGGCCUAGGAAGGGGACGACGCAGAGCCGGGGAAGACGCGGCAGUGGAUGCACAUGCGGAGAGGAGUACGAGGGUUCACUGGUUCGGCUGCGGUGUGAGGCUGUCGUCGCCGCAGAAUAACAGGGGUUGUGGGUGAGUGGAGGGAUGGCCUGGCCAGCAGUGGGAGUAGUAGGGAGCGGUGAGGCCUCCGCGGCAGCACAGCCGACCACAGGAGGCAGGAGCAGGCGGCACGACCGGUGCUGCUUUGGGCGGCUGGAUCAAGAAGACCAGAGGUUGAAGAAGCACGACGGCCGUUGGAUGGACAUCAUACGGUCACUGCAGCUAGAAUCGUUUAUAUUGACUAAGUUGACAAAGCCCUUGGUACGUCAACUUAGUAGGCCCAUAGGUCAGCUUCCAAAAUGGUGCGCCCCAGAUGUCAGGGGGAGGAAUCAUUUUUUUGGGGGGAGGGGGGUGAAGAUAGAAUAUUCGAGAUUGAAGAAGAAGCACGUCAUCCGUUGGAUGGACAUCCAACGGCCACUGCUGGUAGAACCAUGUGUUGACUAUAAGUUGACAAAGCCUUGCAUACGCGUCAACUCUCUUUUUUUAGGGGAUGCAUCAACUUAGUAAGGCCAAAAGUGUGUGGCAGAGAACUUAUAGCCCAUUUGAGAUUUGUAAGAAUGUGCAACCCAUUUUUGAAUUCUAAUGGAAUUUACUACAGCCCAUUUACAGUUUGUUAAAAGUACAACCCAUUUCAACCAACCGUUCAAAAAAGAAUUCAAUAAAAUUUCCCACAUUUUGAUGGGAUCCGAAAUAUUUUUAUGCCGAAAUUUCUAGUCAGAUUAAAUACAAUUUCAAUAUAAAUUUAUAUUACGUAAAAAUCCAACGAAACAUUGCGCUUGCAACAAUUAAUGAAAUUAAAAUUUUCAAUAUCCAAAAAUAAUAUUUUAUAAAGUAAAUACGUGUUUGGUGCAUUUUUUAUAGUUACUGCCCUGUUUUUAUAAUUACAUCCCAUUUAUUAUUUCUUAAAGCCCAUUUUCUUGUUAAGCCUAAUGCAUCCCUCCUAGGAAAGAUUUGUAGCCCAGCGGGGCAGAGAAUAACAACUUGACCUUGCCUGGGUAUUCCUAAAAAAAGUAUAGCUGGGCUAGCCAUUUUCAGCUUGAAAAAAAUUAAUAUCUGGGCUGGAUAUCUGGCCUGGGCUAGACGGGCCACAACCCGCCCAGUUAAUACCUGCAGCGAUGUUUUCAUUGUUGUUCAGAGGAGAAAAAUUAAUAUCUGGGCUAAACUUCAAAAAACUCUGCAGUGCUCACACCUCAAAAACACAAAUACUGCUCGAGCUGCUUGGUCCCAGCUGUCGGCCGCUUCUUGUGCAAUUCUCUCAUUUAUUGACUACUCCCUCCUUUCCGGUUUAUAGUGCUCAAUUCAAAAAUCUCACCAGUCAAGGUAGAUGGCGAGUGGUGGCAUACUUUUUGUAGUUUUGCAAAAGCACCUAAUUAAUGCUCUUGUUAUCCUCAAAAAUCAUGUUUAUCAAUGCAUUAAUUGCAGUGCAUGCAUGCAUAAAGUACAUGCAUUGGUCAAUUUUCUUUUAGUACUUGCAUGCAAUGAUUUAAUGCACCUUGAAAUCUGAACAUGUGAUGGAAAACAAUCAAAUUGAGCCUUAUAAAAUGGAAAAACUAAAAUUUUGAGAUAAGCCCUAUAAACCGGAAAGGAGGGAGUACAUAGGUUGACAAUGGUGUGGGACCGUGAUGUCAGGAAACCAAGAGGAAGCAAAAUAAAUUAUAUAUAUAUAUAUAUAUAUAUAUAUAUAUAUAUAUAUAUAAUAAGGAGGCACUUGCGUACGUUAGGCUAUGGCCCUGGUGGGUCCCCAUUGUCAUCCUCUCCAAGUAAAGUCAUCUCCUCGCCCGCGCGCGCUUUCCGCCCGAAACAGUCAGCGCUGCCCCCUCGCUUCCCGGUGCAGGCGAUUGCUCUGCCUUCAAACGACACAAGUGCCGUCCGUCCGUCCAUCUGCCGCCCACAUUAAUGAUAUACGGUUGCCGAGGCGGCUACUCCGGCGCCACACGUCCGUCCCUCCGCCGCCCACCAUUGCUAUAUAAACUGCUGCGCCGGCCAUAGCCGCAGUCAUCCGCAUCCAUUCCCUUUCUCUUGUCCACACCACUACUGCCCACCAUGGUUUCCUCGCGCCCAAGCGCUCUUCAGGACGGGCGGACGACGGACCACAAGGAGAUGGCAGUCAUUGCUACCGACCGGAUGGCCGGCAGGCAGCCGGAGGACGACGACGUCCCAAUGGAGAACAUAGUAGUCGAUGAUCCGGCGCCAACCCCCUCCUCCGCGCCAUCCUCGCCGGUGCAUUGCACCAUGACCAUCAGCGAGGCCCGUGCCCAAUAUAUGGACAUGGUGAGGCAGAUGCGUGAGGAGUAGUUCUGGGAGGCCCAGGCCGAUGCCGCCUACAACCACCAUCUCCUCCAGGAGCACCCGCAGGCGGAGGAGCAGAUCGCUGCGAAGCAGGCGGAGCAGGAGGCGCUGCUUGACUCGUACCGCUCCACCCGUGAGGGCCACCUCGAGCGCUGGCGGUACCGCAUGCGGGUGGCGGAGGCUGCGGCCGCCUACAAAGAGGGCAAUGAAGUGGGCAAGGCGCUGUUUGGUGAGAUCGAGGACGAGGUAGAGGACAAUGCCAGCUCCGACGAGUGCCCGCUCCGCUGGCGUCGACGAGGCCCUGCUCCACCGAGGCCCCGCGGCGCCAAGAACAAGGCAGAGGACACCGCCGGCUUCGCCGAGGCCCCGCCCCGCCAACAACAAGGCAGAGGACAUUGCCAGCUCAGCCGAGGCCCCACCCUACUAGCAACGAGGGGGAGGAUUUCCACUGCUCCGCUGAGGCGCCGCCCGCCGGCAAUGAGAUAGAGGACAUCGCCGGCUCCACCGAGGCCCCGCCCCGCUGCCAACGAGGCCGCGCCACACAGAAACCAAGGAAGAGUAGAACACGGUAUGUCGCCGCCGCUCGGGUCCAAGCAAGGCCACCGCUGCUAUCCUCCGGUUGAAGCCAAGCUAGGAGGGUUGACCAUUGACGGUCGGUUAGCUUCUUGGCGGUGACGUGGGGUCAGAGAGCUGUGCUGGAGAAGAACACUGCUUCUACUUAACUGCUGGUGCAGUUGGCUGACUGACACAUGGGCCCAACAGGCCACGUGUUAGUUAUGCAACUGCACCUGUAGUUAAGUCACUGAAGCUUCUGUUCGGCUCAGCGGGACACAACUGGGUAGCUUCGGUUAAUUAAUUAUACCUCCAGCGCACCCCUUUUUAGUUGAAGAAUGUAUGAAAUGUAAUGAAAUCCGGCAUGUUUAUAUGAAAUCCGACCAUGUAUGAAUGAAUUUAUUUCGAUUAGUUUGAAUUGCUGUAUCACUGGCAUUGGAUGAACAUGCAAAACAAUACGUACUAGCAUUAUUCCCAGGGUGAUCACCUCGUUUGCAGCAGUUUCACAUGUACUCCCUCCGGUCCUUUCUAGUCUGCAUACAAGUUUUGUCUGCAGUCAAAGUAUCUCUACUCUGACCAAUCUUAUACAAAAAACUAUGCACUUUCACAAUGUGUCAAGUAAAAAGGAACAGAAGGAGUACAAAGAGUUUGAGCAGCUUUUUAGAGUUUCUGUACAUUGCAAUCAAACACACAGGGCUGGAAAUUCAUAGAGAACAUUCAAAACAAUCGAUGAUUAUGCAUCUCAACGACUCACAUGUCAGAGGCAAUAUUUACUUCACAACUAAAUAAUAAAGAAAAAAUUGAUCGACCCUGCUGACAGCAAAGGGCGUCCCAUUCGAAAAUAUCAAAUGCAUGUCUUGCUAAAAUCAAUGAGCAAAAUUUGACAAGGUUGUCCCACUCCAAAAUAUCAAAUGCCUACGAUUGUGGAAUGGGCAGGGUUUGCCAUCAGUUCGGACAUUGACAUGGCACCUCGUGCUAAAUAAACCAGUUGUUCUUUUUGUGCAGUUCCACCAAAAUCAACCAAAUUCGCGCGUAGCUUGUAUGAUCUCGCCCUUAUAUGUUGCAACGCCUUGAACUUAUCGGCACCUCCUUUCUUGUGGUGGAAAUGAAUGAUUCGAUGUAUUCAUGAACAUUUUGUGCAGUUCCCAUUGAAAUCAAGCUGAGCACCCCUGUUUGCACAAAUACAAAAAAGUGAUUAGUAUAAAGCAAACUGUACUAUGAAUUGAUAGUUUAAACAGGCACCUACAUGGUCCAUGUAGAGCACACUUUUAGAAAAAUGGAACUCACCAGAAAGAAUCCUAGAAUAACAUUGUACACGCUCAUCACAGCAAAAAAUGGAGAUUUGUCAGUCCUUCUGAGCUGAAGUUAGUUUGUCUUGUGGGGAGUAAUGUAACCACCCUUCAACUGCUCCUUCUGAUGAGAAGAUAGACAGGGCUUCUUCAUCCUGGCAUAAUCGGAACUAGUCACUUCACGUACUCCAUAUUCUUCUUCAGAGAAUGAUGAUCCUAUUGUGCAAAGACAAGAGGACUACUAAAUGCUAGCAUCCCUAUUUGCUCGAAAAAAAGGAAAGGAAAUAUUUAAAACAGCACAGAUGAAGCACUUCUCAAGGACAAUACCACCUUUUCAUGAUAGUAUCUAAACAGUAGCACAACACCAAUAGAGAUGACAAAGCUCAAUCAUGUGGAUGAAAUCAGUGGGCGAGUACCAACCUUUGUCAUGAAGCUUAUUGUGUAGAGCAUACAGAUGAAGCACUUCUCCGGAACCAUCUGUUGCUAUCUACUGUGGUGGCCAUGCUUACUAUAUACUCCUCAAUUAGUUUAAUGUUUCCAACAUCUUCUUGUGCAGUUCCACUAAAAUAUAUGGUAUCUUCAAAGAAGAUCCCUGUUUGCACAAGUAGAGAUAAUUACGUAUUACAUUAAGAGUGUCAUCAAAUCAGUGGCAAAACAAUUGCUCGUUCCAGCCAUAGCAAUAAAUUAAGAUGCAAAACUAUAUCAUUACUUGUGUCAUCACAGUUCCAGUGCUUCAUUACGGCACCGGGAGUUGAUUUUUGUUUUUCCGCUUGUUCUUCCCCUUCAUCAAUUGGUUCAAUAACAGACAAGCUUCGCCUUCAAUGUAAGAUUUGGCAUGUCAAUUAGGGAGCAGAAGUAUAGCACUAAACAAUGACAUUAAUUUUCUGAUGAAAGUGGCAAAAUACAGGCCAAUAGUUGUGAAAUAUCCUUAUCUUACCUCAAUGGGAUAUUAUGGUGCACAUACAAAUUGGAAGUCUUGUCUCCAUUUGUGCAGUUCACAAAAAUCAAGCAACAUUACCAUACAAGUAGCACAACAUAUGAAAGCACACUGCAGAAUCAUGUGAAAGAAGGCUAGUACUGACCUCUCACGAUGCGGAAUUCAAACAACUCACAAGAAGAAGAUCUGAACCAAAUUCGCCAACAUGGAUAGGAAGUAAGAUCUCCUCUUGUGCAGUUCCACUAAGAUCAAGCAAUCAAGCAACGUUGUCGGUGUGAAAUUUUGGUUGAACUGCACAAAACACUCUUAAAACAAAAGUGUUUUGUGCAGUGCAACAAAAGGUCACAAUGGCAACGAGGUCAAGUAGAUAACCCUGUUUACAUAGAGGUGCAAAGGAAACAACUAGUGGUCAAUAACGGUGGAUGACACAUAAGCCAACAAAAAGAAGCACCUACCUUAUCUAGAUGGGAAAGAAAGCAAGACAGUAUCAUUUCUCAAAUGGUGGCAUUGAUUAAUAUUAACAUAGAGAUUAUAUUAACAAUAAAAUUCAUUAAACAUGUAAUUUGCUUUUAACUGUGGCACUGCAUCAAUUUUCCAGCGGCAUUAUUAGAGGGUGUUUGUUUACAGGGACAUUUUGGUGUAGGGACUAAAAAAACUCCGUGUUAGUCCCAUCUAAACCAAGAAGGAUGGACUUUUAGGGACUAAAAGUGGGCAUUUUUGGGACUAAAGAAAGAAGACCCUGAGGGAGUCUUUUUGGGACUUUUUCCAACAGUUGCCCCUGCCACGCAUUGCACCUUGUCUCUAUUAGUUCAUUACUAGGGGUAAGAUGGUAUUUUAGCAUGUCAUUUAAUAACCUCUAGUCCAUGUUUAGUCCCUGGAACCAAGCAUGUAGGGACUAGGGAGUUUUUUUAAUCAAACAGGGCCUUAGAUUAACAACAACUAAAGAGUUGCACGGGACAGUGGACACACCAGCACCAUGUGCAUCUACCGAUGUACUGUGGUCAUGCACAGUCUAUUGCAACAAAGAACAAACAACCAAGGAGCAUAUUUGUGUUGGUCCUAAUUUUGUUAUCUUUAGACACCUUUCCCUAUGUGAGCGCAACAAAUCUAGUCCUGCUCAAACUCUACACCCUUGUCCUCCAAAACAAAAGAUCAGUUCGUUACAGAUGUGCGUACUGCGUUUGUCAUUGUUUUCCCUUUUCGACCAACGUAGGUGCUGGAUAGCCAGUCUGUACUAGUACUUUCGCCCCUUCCUUUCCUCUUUGAACCACGUCCUAGAUUUAUGUGAUACAACUUUCCCACUACUUUCCCACACUCCUUUCCUCUUUGAACCACGUCCUAGAUUCCUGGUAUACAUGCAGCUAGAGCAAUGCAUGUGGAAUAAGUAAAUUAUACCUUAAGGUUCUUGGGGCAUGGUUCGGUGGGCGUCGGGACAGCGGCGAAGAAGAAGGGGUUGGCGGCCCUCCCGCGCCGCCGCUGGGUGAAAGUGAACAGCUGCGCCGGUAGUGGAUUCCCUCCCUCGCUGACGGCGACAAUGUUAAGCCUCCUUCCCUUCUUGGCGGACGGAUCCUGUCGGCUCUUUGAGCAGCAGUUAGGGGAGAGAGAGGCCAAUGAAGUCUUGUUUAGAUCUGGAGAGGGUGAGAGAGUGUGAAGAGAGCAACUACAAGUGCCGAGGCUCCAGCGUCUAUAUAUAUACUAGAGAGAGAGUGUGAAGUGUGCAAACCCUAGAAAACAAGCGCCGAGGCUACAACUUAUAGAGUACGUGAUGAGGUGAUUAUACGGUCACUACGAGAUCGUAUAGCUCCGAAUCCAUCCAUUUUGAACAAUCAAAGAAUCCUCCUGGCACAAAUUAUGCUCAAGUGUAGUUAUCGAACCCGAGACCUCAAGUUUUUUUUGAGUGGAACCCGAGACCUCAAGUUUGAUGAGCGAACAGACUAACUAACUACACAACCCUCCCGUUAUGUUCAACGAGAGGAAAAUAACCUUUUAUACAUUCCUGGAUUCGUGUGACAAGCAUGCCGUGUUUUUUUGUGUGUGGGAGUCAUUGGGAUUUAAAUCAUAAUCGUGUCAUGUGGCUUUGGUGGUAAGACUAUCCACUGUGGUGCAAAAAUAAUGCAGCCUUAGUCACCUUACCUCUCUCCACGUAGUACGUUGGGUCCAACCAGUCAGAGGGUGAAACAAAAAAAUUAAUAAGAAAAAAUAAAAGCGCCAGCGGUGUAUCUUACCUCACACAUCUCGCUACUGCUCGGGAACACUGUCCAAUUGAUCCCUCUGUUCGCUCACGUACUAUUUUAAGUGAAUCCUUAUUAUAACAUGCACACCAUUUUGGGCACUUGUAUUCGACCUAAGUCAGUGUGCCACUGAUGACCCACAAGUAUAGGGGAUCUAUCAUAGUCCUUUCGAUAAGUAAGAGUGUCGAACCCAACGAGGAGCAGAAGGAAAUGAUAAGCGGUUUUCAGCAAGGUAUUCUCUGCAAGUACUGAAAUAACUGGUAACAGAUAGUUUUGUGAUAAGAUAAAUGGUAACGAGCAACAAGUAACAAAAGUAAAUAAAGUGCAGCAAGGUGGCCCAAUCCUUUUUGUAGCAAAGGACAAGCCACUAGAGGUUAGACAACAUACAUCUUAUCAAAAUAUCGAACGAAUACCAAAUUCACAUGACUACUAAUAGCAAGACUUCUCCCUUGUCCUCAGGAACAAACGUAACUACUCACAAAGCAUAUUCAUGUUCAUAAUCGGAGGGGUAAUAAUAUGCAUAAAGGAUCUGAACAUAUGAUCUUCCACCAAAUAAACCAACUAGCAUCAACUACAAAGAGUAAUCAACACUACUAGCAACCUACUAGCACCAAUCCCGGACUUGGAGACAAGAAUUGGAUACAAGAGAUGAACUAGGGUUUGGAGAUGAGAUGGUGCUGGUGAAGAUGUUGAUGGAGAUUGCCCUCUCUCAAUGAGAGGAGCGUUGGUGAUGAUGAUGGCGAUGAUUUCCCCCUCCCGGAGGGAAGUGUCCCCGGCAGAACAGCUCUGCCGGAGCCCUAGAUUGGUUCAGCCAAGGUUCCGCCUCGUGGUGGCGGAGUCUCGUCCCGAAAGGUUUCUUCCUAUUUUUUUUCUCAUCGAAAGACUUCAUAUAGGAGAAGAUGGGCGUCAGAGAGCCACCAGGGGGCCCAUGAGGUAGGGGGGCAUGCCCCCCACCCUCGUGAGCAGGGUGUGGGCCCCUGGCCUUCAUCUUUGGCGACGAUUUUUCUUUAUUUAUUUUAAGAUAUUCCGUGGAGUUUCAGGACUUUUGGAGUUGCGCAGAAUAGGCCUCCAAUAUUUGCUCCUUUCCCAGCCAGAAUUCCGGCUGCCGGCAUUCCCCCUCUUCAUGGUAAACCUUGUAAAAUAAGAGAGAAUAGCCAUAAGUAUUGUGACGUAUCGUGAAAUAACAGCCCAUAAUGCGAUAAAUAUCGAUAUAAAAGCAUGAUGCAAAAUGGACGUAUCAACUCCCCCAAGCUUUGACCUCGCUUGUCCUCAAGCGAAAAGCCGAUAACAAUAAAUAUGUCCUCAUGUUUAGAAGUAGAGGCGUCGAUAAAAAUAAAAUACGGACAUGAAGGCAUCAUGAUUAUUUUCAUAACAACAACAUAUAUAGAUUUGUCAUAUGAUUACUUAUGUUCAAGUGAUGAUCUUUUCACAAAGCCAAAGUAUGAAUCAUAAACCUUAUUGAGCACCAACAAUUUAUACCCUCAGUCAUUGAAGCAAUUGCAAUUUAUCAUAACAUCGGAAAGAGUCUAUGUUAGAGCUUAAAAGCAAGUCCACAUACUCAACUAUCACUUAGUCCUUCAUAAUUGCUAACACUCACACGAUACUUGUGGUUAUGGAGUUUUAAUCGGACACAGAGAAAGGUAGGGGUUAUAGUUUUUCCCCACAACCUUUUACCUCAAGGGUAAUGUCAACAAUAAUAAUUCACGCUCCCCCACAUCCAAUUAGAUAUAUGUAUCAUGUUCUUUCCAACAUGCGGAGCUUGCCAAAGGAUAAAAUGAAAAAGGAAAGGUGAAGAUCACCGUCACUCUUGCAUAAGGUAGAGGAUAAUAAUAAAAGAUAGGCCCUUCGCAGAGGGAAGCAGAGGGUGCCAUGCGCUUUUAUGGUUGGAUGCACAAAAUCUUAAUGCAAAAGAACGUCACUUCAUAUUGCCCCAUGUAUGUGAACCUUUAUUAUGCAGUCCAUUGCUUUUAUUGCGUCCACAACAAGUUCGUACAAAGCUUAUUUCUCUGCACUAAUAAGUCAUGCAUAUUUAAAGAGCAAUUUUUAUUGCUUGCACCGAUGACAACUUACUUGAAGGAUCUUACUCAAUCCAUAGGUAGAUAUGGUGGACUCUCAUGGCUAAACUGGUUUAAGGGUAUUUGGAAGCACAAGUAGUAUCUCUACUUGGUGCUGAGAAUUUGGCUAGCAUAAGGGGGAAAGGCAAGCUCAACACGGUAGAGGAUCCAUGACAACAUACUUUAUCUCGGAUGUAAGAAAACAUAACUCAUUAUGUUGUCUUCCUUGUCCAACCUCAACUCUUUAGCAUGUCAAAUUUUAAUGAGUGCUCCCAAUCAUAAAAGAUGUCAAUGAUAAUAUAUCUAUAUGUGAAACUUCUCUUUCCUUAUUACUUCCUAUUAAUUGCAACGAUGACCAAAGCUAUAUUUGCCAACUCCCAACAACUUUUAAUCAUCAUACUCUUUCUAUGUGAAGUCAUUACUUUCAACAAGAUCAAUAUGAACUCUUUGAUUCUUUUUAUUCCUUUUUUUUCUAAUCACCCAAGAUCAUGGCAAAGUAAUCAAGCCCUUGACUCAACACUAAUCUUUAUUAUAUAUAGCUCACAGACUCGAUUGCAUAGAGGGAUAAUAAAGCAAAACUCAAAACUAGAUCGUGCCAUGACUUUAUUCUACUAAAUCAAGAUACUACUAAUAGGAUCGAACUAAAAAAACGGUAAAGAUAGGAGUUGUGAUGGUGAUACGAUACCGGGGCACCUCCCUCAAGCUUGGGAGUUUCCAAGGGGAGUGCCCAUACCCAUGUGAUUAUGUCUCCUUCUUUGUUGUUGGCGGUGGAGGUGUUGUUGAUGAUGCAAGCUUGUCGUCCACCUUCCAUGGCAUAGGCCCACCCUCAUAGAAGGAUGAUCGAGUCUCCGGAAUCCUCCGAUCUGCAACGGAAACAACUCAAAACAAAAACAGAGGAUAUCUGCGUGAUAGGGUCGUCAAAACCUUCUGGAGAAUAUAUAAUGAAUUUUUACCGACCAAAAUACGUAUCGUGCAAGAAAACGGAGUCCGGAGGGCACACGAGGUGCUCAUGAGGUAGGGGGGCACGCCCAGAGGGGUAGGGCGCGCCCUCCACCCUCGUGGAGGCCUCGUGUCCUCCUCGGACUGCUACUUAUUUUUCUAUUUUUCUAAAUAUUCCAAAACGGAGAAAUAUUGCCUUAGAAUUUAUUUUGGGGUCAGUUUACUUACCGUACCACAUACCUAUUCCUUUUCGAAGUUUGGAACAUUCUGGAAAGUGUCCCUUAUGUAUUCCUCCGGGGUUACGGUUUCAAUAAUAUUAGUUUCAACAUUUAUAGGAUUACCUGAGAUGUAGUGUUUGAUCCUUUGACCGUUUACCACCUUCGGAUUUGUGCCUUCGAAGUUGUUGAUUUUUAUGGCACCAGAACGAUAGACCUCCUUGAUAACGUAAGGGCCUUCCCAUUUAGAGAGAAGCUUUCCUGCAAAAAAUCUUAAACGAGAGUUGUAUAGCAAUACAUAAUCACCUACAUUAAACUCACGCUUUUGUAUCCUUUUGUCAUGCCAUCUUUUAACUUUUUCUUUAAACAACUUGGCAUUUUCAUAGGCUUGGGUUCUCCAUUCAUCAAGUGAGCUAAUAUCAAAUAACCUCUUCUCACCAGCAAGUUUGAAACCAUAGUUGAGCUCUUUAAUAGCCCAAUAUGCCUUAUGUUCUAGUUCAAGAGGUAAGUUACAUGCUUUUCCAUAAACCAUUUUAUACGGAGACAUACCCAUAGGAUUCUUAUAUGCAGUUCUAUAGGCCCAUAAUGCAUCAUCAAGUUUCUUGGACCAAUUCUUUCUAGACCUAUUAUAAGUCUUUUGCAAAAUUAAUUUGAGCCCUCUAUUACUCAAUUCUACCUGACCACUAGACUGCGGGUGAUAAGGAGAUGCAAUUCUAGGAUUAACAUCAUAUUUAGCAAGCAUCUUACGGAAAGCACCAUGAAUAAAGUGUGAACCACCAUCAGUCAUUAAGUAUCUAGGGACUCCAAACCUCGGAAAAAUAACUUCCUUAAGCAUUUUAAUAGAAGUGUUAUGAUCAGCACUACUAGUUGGAAUAGCUUCUACCCACUUAGUAACGUAAUCAACAGCAACUAGAAUAUGAGUGUAACCAUUAGAGGCAGGAAAAGGUCCCAUAUAAUCAAAGUCCCAAACAUCAAAUGGCUCAAUAGCAAGUGAAUAAUUCAUAGGCAUUUCUUGACGUCUACUGAUAUUACCAAUUCUUUGACAUUCAUCGCAAGAUAAAACAAACUUACGGGCAUCCUUGAAGAGAGUAGGCCAAUAAAAACCGGAUUGCAAUACCUUAUGUGCAGUUCUAUCUCUAGCGUGGUGUCAUCCAUAGGCUUCGGAGUGACACUUGCGUAGGAUCUGUUCCUGUUCAUGCUCAGGUACACAACGUGUAAUAACACCAUCUACUCCUUCUUUAUAAAGAUGUGGGUCAUCCCAAAAGUAAUGUCGCAAGUCAUAGAAAAACUUUUUCUUUUAUUGGUAUGUGAAGCUAGGCGGUAUAAAUUUAGCAACAAUAUAAUUACAUAAUCAGCAUACCACAGAGUGCUACGAGAAGUACUUAUGACAUUUAAUUGCUCAUCAGGAAAGCUAUCAUCAAUAGGUAGUGGGUCAUUUAGAACAUUCUCUAGCCUAGACAAGUUGUCUGCAACGGGGUUCUCAGCUCCUUUUCUAUCAACAAUAUGUAAAUCAAAUUCUUGGAGCAAGAGGACCCAUCUAAUGAGUCUAGGUUUUGCAUCUUUCUUUUCCAUAAGAUAUUUAAUAGCAGCAUGAUCUGUAUGAAUAGUUACUCUAGAAUCAAUAAUAUAGGGUUUGAAUUUAUCACAAGCAAAUACAACCGCUAAAAGUUCCUUUUCGGUAGUAGCAUAAUUUCUUUGAGCAUUGUCUAGAGUCUUACUAGCAUAAUGGAUAACAUUUAAUUUCUUAUCAACUCUUUGCCCUAGAACAACACCUACAGCAUAAUCACUAGCAUCACACAUAAUUUCAAAAGGGAAAUUCCAAUCAGGUGGCUGAACAAUAGGUGCAGAGACUAAUGCUUUCUUAAGUAUUUCAAAUGCUUCUACACAAUCAUCAUCAAAGACAAAUGGUACAUCUUUUUGUAAUAAAUUAGUCAGAGGCCGAGAGAUUUUUGAGAAGUCCUUAAUGAACCUCCUAUAAAAUCCGGCGUGACCAAGGAAACUUCUUAUACCUUUGAUGUCCUUGGGACAUGUCAUCUUUUCAAUAGCAUCAACCUUGGCUUUAUCGACUUCAAUACCUCUUUCAGAAACAUUGUGCCCCAAGACAAUACCUUCAUUAACCAUAAAGUGGUACUUUUCCCAAUUCAGGACAAGAUUAGUUUCUUCACAUCUCUGCAAAACUCGAGCAAGAUUGCUCAAGCAAUCAUCAAAAGAGGAACCAUAGACGGAAAAGUCAUCCAUGAAAACCUCACAAAUUUUCUCGCAAAAGUCAAAGAAUAUAGCCAUCAUUCAUCUUUGAAAGGUAGCAGGUGCAUUACAUAAACCAAAAGGCAUACGUCUAUAAGCAAAAGUACCAAAACGGCAUGUAAAAGUAGUCUUUUAUUGAUCCUUAGCCGACCCAGGUAUUUGAGAAAAACCAGAAUAACCAUCUAGAAAGCAAUAGUGUGUAUGUUUGCAUAAUAUUUCUAGCAUUUGAUCAAUAAAAGGUAAGGGGUAAUGAUCUUUCUUAGUAGCCUUAUUUAGUUUGCGGAAAUCAAUUACCAUCCUAUAACUGUGAUAAUUCUUUGCGGAAUCAAUUCAUCUUUAUCAUUAGGGACAACAGUAAUACCUCCCUUCUUAGGGGCACAAUGGACAGGACUUACCCACUAACUAUCAGCAACGGGAUAAAUUAUACCUGCCUCCAGAAGCUUGAGUAUUUCCUUUCUUACCACUUAUUUCAUUUUAGGAUUCAAACAUCGUUGAGGAUCACAAACUGGUUUGGCAUCAGCUUCCAAAUUUAUUUUAUGUUGACAUAGGGUGGGACUGAUGCCCUUAAGAUCAUCCAGAGUAUAUCCAAUAGCAGAACAGUGCUUUUUCAGAAUUUUCAAUAAUCUUUCUUCUUCAUGCUCUGAAAGGUUAGCACUAAUAAUAACAUGAUAUAUUUUCUUUUCAUCAAGAUAAGUAUACUUAAGAUUAUCAGGCAACGGUUUAAGCUCAAACACGGGAUCACCCUUGGGUGGAGGAGGAUCCCCUAGGAUUUCAACAGGCAAAUUUGUUUCAGAAUAGGUUCUUGUUUAAAGAAUACUUCAUCUAAUUCCCUUCUUUCAUUCAUGAACAUCUCAUUUUCAUGGUCUAGCAAAUAAUGCUCUAAAGGAUCACUAGGAGGUACAGCAAUAGAAGCAAGACCAAUAAUUUCAUCCUUACUAGGCAAUUCUUCCUCACGAUGUUGUUUACUAAAUUUAGAGAAAUUAAACUCAUGAGCCAUAUCAUCCAAGCCAAUAGUAACAACUUUCUUUUCGCACUCUAUCUUAGCAUUAACAGUAUUCAAGAAGGGUCUACCAAAUAUAAUGGGACAAAAUCUAUCUUGUGGAGAACCAAGAACAAGAAAAUCAGCGGGAUAUUUGGUUUCCCACACAAGACUUCAACAUCUCUAACAAUUCCCAUUGCAGAUAUAGUAUCUCUAUUGGCAAGUUUAAUCGUAACAUCAAUAUCUUCUAACUCAGUAGGUGCGAUAUCAUGCAUAAUUUCUUUAUAUAAGUCAAUGGGUAUAACACUAGCACUAGAACCUAUAUCACAUAAGCCAUGAUAACAAUGAUCUCCUAUUUUAACAGAAAUAACAGCCACACCUACCACGGGUCUAUGUUUAUCUCUAUCACAGGGUUUAGCAAUUCUAGCAGUUUCACCAGAGAAUUCAAUGACAUGCCCAUCAAUAUUAUCGGACAAGAGAUCUUUAACAAUAGCAAUAUUAGGUUCUACUUUGACUUGCUCAGGAGGUGUAUAAGUUCUAGUAUUUCUUUUACGAACAACAGUUGAAGCUUUAGCAUGAUCCUUUACUCUAGCAGGGAAAGGUGGUUUCUCAACAUAAGAGGUGGGAACAAUAGGAUCAUUAUAAGUGAUGGUCUUUUCUUCAACUUUAAUAGGUGCAACUACUUUUACUUCUAUGGGAGAAUGAUAUUUAAACCACUUCUCCUUGGGGAGAUCAACAUAAGUAGCAAAAGAUUCACAGAAAGAAGCUACUAUAUCAGAGUCAAGUCCAUAUUUAGUGCUAAACUUGCGGAAAAUAUCGGUAUCCAUAAAAGAUUUAACACAAUCAAACUUAGGUGUCAUACCUGACUCCUUACCUUCGUCGAGGUCCCAAUCUUCAGAGUUGCGUUUAAUUCUAUCCAAUAAAUUCCAUCUGAAUUCAAUAGUCUUCAUCAUAAAAGAGCCAACACAAGAAGUGUCGAGCAUGGUUUGAUUAUUAUGAGAAAGCCGAGCAUAAAAAUUCCGGAGAAUUGUCAAUUUUGAGAGCUCAUGAUUGGGGCAUGAAUAUAACAUUUAUUUAAGCCUCCCCCAAGCUUGAGCGAUGCUUUCUCCUUUGCGAGGCCAAAAAUUAUAUAUAUAAUUACAAUCACGAUGAACAAGAUGCAUAGGGUAAUACUUUUGAUGAAAUUCCAAUUUCACUCUUUUAUAGUUCCAUGAUCUCGUAUCAUCACAUAGCCGAUACCAUGUCGAUGCGUCUCCCUCCAAAGAUAAAGGGAAAGCCUUCUUCUUAACAACAUCAUCGGGCAUACCUGCAAGCUUAAAUAAUCACAAAUAUCAUCCAAAUAGCGUAGAUGCUCGUCAGGAUGCUUUGUUCCAUCUCCUGUAAAAGUAUUAGCCAGCAAUUUUUCUAUAAUACCCGAAGGAAAUUCAAAAGGAGUUUCAUUUUCAAUAGGUUCAGUAGGUUGAGGAGCAACUCUUUGCUCUACUGGACGGGGUGAAGAUACCCCGAACAAGCCCCUCAGAGAUUCACUUUCCAUAGUAACAAGUGACAGAAAAUUGCAGCAUACUAUAUAAAUUUUUCCUUACCAAAUUCCACUUACCAAAGGAGCUACACUCCCCGGAAACGGCGCAAGAAAAGAGUCUUGAUGACCCACAAGUAUAGGGGAUCUAUCAUAGUCCUUUCCAUAAGUAAGAGUGUCGAACCCAACGAGGAGCAGAAGGAAAUGAUAAGCGGUUUUCAGCAAGGUAUUCUCUGCAAGUACUGAAAUAAGUGGUAACAGAUAGUUUUGUGAUAAGAUAAAUGGUAACGAGCAACAAGUAACAAAAGUAAAUAAAGUGCAGCAAGGUGGCCCAAUCCUUUUUGUAGCAAAGGACAAGCCUGGACAAACUCUUAUAAUAGGAAAAGAGCUCCUGAGGACACAUGGGAAUAUCAUCAAGCUAGUUUUCAUCACGCUCAUAUGAUUCGCGUUUGGUACUUUGAUAAUUUGAUAUGUGGGUGGACCGGUGCUUGGGUACUGCCCUUACUUGGACACGCAUCCCACUUAUGAUUAACCUCUAUUGCAAGCAUCCGCAACUACAACAAAAAUAUUAAGGUAAACCUAACCAUAACAUGAAACAUAUGGAUCCAAAUCAGCCCCUUACGAAGCAACACAUAAACUAGGGUUUAAGCUUCUGUCACUCUAGCAACCCAUCAUCUACUUAUUACUUCCCAAUGUCUUCCUCUAGGCCCAAAUAAUGGUCAAGUGUUAUGUAGUCGACGUUCACAUAACACCACUAGAGGUUAGACAACAUACAUCUUAUCAAAAUAUCGAACGAAUACCAAAUUCACAUGACUACUAAUAGCAAGACUUCUCCCUUGUCCUCAGGAACAAACAUAACUACUCACAAAGCAUAUUCAUGUCCAUAAUCAGAGGGGUAAUAAUAUGCAUAAAGGAUCUGAACAUAUGAUCUUCCACCAAAUAAACCAACUAGCAUCAACUACAAAGGGUAAUCAACACUACUAGCAACCUACUAGCACCAAUCCCGGACUUGGAGACAAGAAUUGGAUACAAGAGAUGAACUAGGGUUUGGAGAUGAGAUGGUGUUGGUGAAGAUGUUGAUAGAGAUUUCCCUCUCCCGAUGAGAGGAGCGUUGGUGAUGAUGAUGGCGAUGAUUUCCCCCUCCCGAAGGGAAGUGUCCCCGGCAGAACAGCUCUGCCGGAGCCCUAGAUUGGUUCCGCCAAGGUUCCGCCUCGUGGCGGCGGAGUCUUGUCCCAAAAGGUUUCUUCCUAUUUUUUUUCUCAUCGAAAGACUUCAUAUAGGAGAAGAUGGGCGUCGGAGAGCCACCAGGGGGCCCACGAGGUACGGGGGUGCGCCCAGGGGGGAGGGGCGCACCCCACCCUAGUGAGCAGGGUGUGGGCCCCCUGUUCCUUCAUCUUUGGCGACGAUUUUUCUUUAUUUAUUUUAAGAUAUUCCGUGGAGUUUCUGGACUUUUGGAGUUGCGCAGAAUAGGUCUCCAAUAUUUGCUCCUUUCCCAGCCAGAAUUCCGGCUGCCGGUAUUCCCCCUCUUCAUGGUAAACCUUGUAAAAUAAGAGAGAAUAGCCAUAAGUAUUGUGACAUAUCGUGAAAUAACAGCCCAUAAUGCGAUAAAUAUCGAUAUAAAAGCAUGUUGCAAAAUGGACGUAUCAGCCACCGUAUCUCGUACUUACUACUCCCUCCGCCUUGGUGUAAUAAGUCACAUUAGUAGGUGCAGCGGGACCAAGGUGCGUGUGUGUGUGUGUGUGUGUGUGUGUGUGUUUAACAACAUGUGUGUGUUAGAGAGAGCGACAGAUCGACCUACUCCUACAGAGAGAUUGUGUGUAGUGUACGAUUUUAGCCACGAGAGUCGGUGCAUCCUCUUGUUUCCGGGCGUGUCCGGUAGGGAUAGGAGGACAACUGCCAUGCCCGCUCCUCACCAGCUUGGCCCACCCAAAGCCCCUCCAUCGCCCGCGCGCGCUUCCCACCCAAAACGGUCAGCGCCACUCCAAAGAAUCGGUGCCGCAUUCAUGCCCGGGCAGAGUGGACACGACCUCUGAAUGGCGCAAGAGUGAUGGUUGCUUCGUCCGUCCAACUUACUGCUGGGUCUAUGUGAUUUGACGGCUCAUUGGUCUUUAUUACUGAGGUCGUAGGACUGCUGGAUGUCCCAUGCUUUCGGCGAAAGGAGGUACUACUAGAUUACAAUUUUCUCCGUUCUUACAGUGGAGGAGUGCAAGAGCAGUGAAAACACGCAUGCUCAGUGAUUACAUGGCCCACCUCACACUAUCACCAUAUUUUCUGGACACCGUGCGACACCUAACUCUUUACAUAGUACUCCCUCCGUUCCUAAAUACUACUAGAUGAGUCCCCGCGUGUUGCCGCGGAACAGCCGUAUAUCUCUCUGCGUAAAAUUAUCGAUUUCAUAGAACUAAAGAAAACUCUAUAACUGCAUGACAAAUGUGGUAGCCAAACUAAAAUUUUUCUUUUUGACAUGUUAAUGGGACUUAAAAUCUCACUUACAUGCAUGCUACCGGUGCAUGCUUGUGUGCAGACAUGUUGAUGUGAUUUAAAACACACUCACAUGCAUGCCACGGUAUUUCUGCAUGCUUUCAUGUGGCUUAGUGCGGAGCCUCUCAACGUCUAGAUCAGACGACUAUUAUGGACUGAUUUAGUUCAUCCAACGGCUACAUUAAUUUUAAUGAUGUGGCUCAAGGAGAGGAUAGUGAAUUCCUAGUAGUGGGGGCUAGCUAUUACUAGUAGAUAAGUCUUUGUAGCGAUUCCACUAGGUGAACUACAUACAGAACAAAAUGAAUGAAUCUACACUUCAAAUGCAUCUAUAUACAUCCGCAUGUGGUUCAUGGUAAAAUUUCUACAAAGACUUAUAUUUAGGAACGGAGGAAGUACUAGUAUAGUACGUACUGUAAUUUAUCAGCGAGAUAAAUUUGUACAAUGCUAUGAAGCUUCCAGCUUCUGUUACAUGUAUCUUGCGUCCAAGGUUGCCCGUUGCAACAUUUCAUCAAAUACAAAGGAGACUAACAUGCAUGCUAUUGCAUCUCAAUGAUUGACAGAUCAUAGCAAAUAUGUACUCCCUCCAUUCCAAAAUAAGUGUCUCAACUUUAUGCAAACUUUAGUACAAAGUUGUACUACUACUAAAGUUGACACUUAUUUUGGAACAAAGGCAACUAAAGAAAAAAAUGAUCCAUGCAGUCCUUAGCCCUUGAAUCGUGAAUCCUAACCAUGCUUCAAUUUGCUGGCAACGUUCGAGCUUCCUAAGAAAUGAAGUUUGCAACCUUUUGACCAUUGGAUCAUUUUGUGAAGUUUCACCAAAAUCGAGAUGAGCAUCCCUGUGGCAAAGAAAUUGAAGAAGCGUGAUUAGAAUAAGAUUACUGGGACUAGUUGAUGAGACAUAAACUCAUCACAAAUACAGUAUGUAGAAGCCAGUAGAGGUAUGUGCAGGGCAAAGAAGUAGAGAAAUAUCCACAUGGAGUGAUGUGGGCAGCUGGAGCAGUGGUGCAAGCCGGCUGUAAAGGGAGUUGUACCUGAGGGACGUAGCUCAACCUUGAGGAGGGUGGCGGGAGGCGGCAACUGCCCAUGUUGCGGCAGUGAGCAAGGGACGAGGCAACCUCACUGUCUUUUUGAGAGAGAACGGCGGGGACCCCUGAUCGGGACGUGCCGACAGUGGGUUUUCGCUGUCGGCGACGGCGACCGCAUCUACACUAAGCAUCCACCCCUUCCCCCGGCGGACGUGAUCCGCCGAGAUAUUAGAGAUGUGGCCGCAGUCAUUUUGUGCGAGAGAGUGUGAAGAGAGCAACCCCAGCAAGCAACCGUGUAGGCUGGCUCGUCCUGACUAUGUAUAUAGUGGAGCGGUUUCCUUUUGUCUCCAAUGAACCUAUCAUAUUGCGUACAUGCCACUGAAGAAAAAAAACUUUAUUUAUAAAUGACGCAGCACCUACUACUCGUUCUCCUAUAACCUUGCGCCUGGCAUCUCCAAAAUAUUAACCUUGCGAUUGGCUGUUCGCCUCUUCGGGAAGUCGAGCAAUAAUGGUAGUGCGGUGUAUAUCGUUCUGGCUAUAUGAGACCGAAUGAAUUGCUGCACAUCCUCCAUGUGGGCGAGGGUCGAGGGGCGAGGGAGAGUGCUAUAUACGGAGCAAAAUGAGUGAAUCUACACUCUAAAAUACGUCUGUAUACAUCAGUGUUUGGAGUAUCACUACAAAAAAAUACACUUCCGUGAUGGUACGUGUUUGUCACAGUAGGUCGUGUUUUUUGUCAUGCAUGUACAUCCAUGACAAAUUUGUGAUAGAAUCAAGAUAGUCAUACCCGUGCUGUCGUAGAAGUGUUCCAUGACAUUACCAAUAUUAACAUCACGGAAGUGUCCACUUCCAUGACGAUAAAUCGCGCGUCACAGAAGUGCUUUCGUCAAGAGUGACCGACACGUGGCAUCCACCGUAACGGAACGCCGUUAAGCUAUCGGGUCGGGUUUUGGAUCCGAUAACCCGUUAACAGCCCCGACAAAUGGGGAUUUUCCACGUGUAAAAUCAUCAUUGGCUGGAGGAAACACGUGUCGGCUCGUUGUUGGGACAGAUGUCAUCCACACAUUGGACAGAAGGCGCCUAUGAUAUGUCAACACAUGGCACGACCCAACAGAGGCCCAUUCCUGUUUAAAGGCCGGCCUGUUUGACUUGGUCAAAAGGUGACGGGCUGGCCCAUGGAAAGCCUGUUAACGGCCUGUUCGCAUAUAGCCCAUUUACAGCCCGCUAACCCAAGGCCCAUUACGCCCUAUCCGAAUUAGGCCCAGUAGCAUCAUCUGGGCCAUCCAAUAUGAUUCUAGCCCAUUUUCACUUCUGGCCCAUGUAUGGCCCAUGACGUCUUUCGGCCCAUAUGAGGCCCUAUGUAACUCUUGGCCUAUUAAUGACCCAUGGUGAAACUGGCCUGCAAUGAACAGUGUAUCACUUUAGACCCAUUAACGGCCCAUGGUGAAACUGGCCCGUAAUGAACAGUGUAUCACUUUAUACCCAUUAAGGGCCCGUUAUUCAGUUGGGCCGUUUCCAGCCCAUGUUAUCUUUCGGCCUUCUCAGAUCCCAUUUAUUAUUGGGCUCAUUUCGAGCAUUCGUUUACUUACGGCCUGUUAGUGUCAUUUUCUGCUUGUGGGCCAAAUUCAGCCCGUGGUUAUAGUCGGCCCGUUUGUGGUCCGUUAAUACAUUGGGCCGUUUUCAUAGCGUCAUCAAAUACAGCCUAUUAACGAUGGCCCGUCAUGGUCAGCCCAUGAACGGACGAUUCCAACUCUAGCCCAUUUACGGCCAUAAUACGGCCUGUUAUGGGCCCAUGUUUGGCCAAUCGAUCAUACGGCCCGUAUAAGGCCCAUUGAUGGUACGGCCCGUAGAAGGCCCAUUGUUUCUACGGCCCGUAGAACGCCGAAUGUUUCUACGGCCCGUAGAAGGCCUACUGUUUCUACGGCCCGUAGAAGGCCCACUGUUUCUACGGCCCGUAGGAGAACCAGUGUCACUACAGUAAAUAUUAGCCCAUGGUUAUUGUGGCCUAGUUUUAAAAAAUAGGUUAUUGCAGCCACUAGCAAACCGCGGAAAAAGAACUGCACUGACUACAAGCAAACAAAUAAACAAGACAACAAGGAAAUAAAUAAGCAAGCAACUUAUGCUAGGCUAUCACGGCUAUUACACAUAUUACAUCCACUGGGCAUCAAAGUUCAUCACCAGUGCAAAUAUAGGGAACACAUCAGCAUAUAAACGCCGCAGCAAAACAAGUCCAAAACUGAAACCACUUCAGAAGAGUUCAAGAAAAAAUAUCCUGGGUACCCAUAAUGCUGGCAAGAUGCUUAACAAGCUUAUUAACUUUCUCUUGUUUGGCGCUUAAAUCCUCCAGCGCUUGCUGUUGCACAAGAAAGUACGCAUCUGAAUUCAGCAGGGACUUCCUCAGUCCUUCGGCUUCUUGCCGCAACACAGCUGACUGAUGCCUUUCAGCUUGUAGCUGAGACUGAAGAAGCCGAAGUGAUUCAGGCAGCGAGUUCGAAGAGCUUGUGCCAGCGGUACUGGCCAGUAACUCGAACACUAGACCAACGCAGGACUGUGGGGUUUUCUCACUGUUUACAAGAUCGUUUUUAUCACCUUUCUUGGAGACCAACAGGGUUGUCUCACUAUCUUGAACCUUAUCUGCAUUACUUUCUCUACCAUUGCAUAGUGGGGUGCUUUCUCCAAUAUUCUGUUUGCAUACUACAAGAGAAACAAGUAGACACAUCAUAGGUUUAGCUUGUAGUAUACAAAACUCAUUUUGGUAAACCGGUUCAGUAGUAAGGUGGACAAGAUAACAACAUGAAACAAACAUAUAUCUAUGUACUAUGGUCACUGUAUUGUCCAUAUCAUUCUAGUUUAUGUUCCCUAAUCAAGAUAGAGACACAGUUCAACUCAUAUAUUUUUAAGACACAACAUCAUAGACAGAAUAUAAGUGUGAGAAACUACACAUCAUUGGCAGCACUUGUAGUGUGCAUCACAUGAGAACAUAAUUGUUUAUACAACUUAAACAGAAAUCAACAUAGAGCAAGAAUUUAGAACAUCAAUCCAGUUAAAGAAAUAGGUUGAAAACAUACCUGUUGCGCCAUUGGAGUUUGAAUUGGAUCCUUCAAAUUCGAAAGUAGUUGGUAUGAGUAAAUACAGUGAUGCAACAGCAAAGGAGUAUGGACCAUAGCUACGGAAUCUGACCUGAGAACAAUUGCUCUUCUGCUUUAAACUUGGAGUUUGGGUUAGCUGUGGUGGUAUUCAUGCUUUGGGCACUGCAGUAGCUUUAUAAACUGCUCGUGUGGGGGUACUCUGUGGUGGACAUGGUGCUUUGUCAACUAUAAGUGGGUUACUAUCCGCUGGGGUUGCGGUUAGAUGGGUUGUAGCUGGUUCUCUGCCCAACGGUGUAAGUGUGCAAUCUGGAAGAGUCUCGAUUAUGUGUGGUGGGGCUAGUUUGUGGGCCAGUACAACCAUGGUUCUAUCUGCAUCAACGGGUAGCAUUGUCUUUUCUGAAGAUCGGGUUUUUGCUCCCUUAGAUACUGCCAUCAACCCCUCCAAUUCAAAUGUCUGAUAAACAAGAAAAGAAAUUGAAAGUACAUACAUUGUAUGAUAGACAGAUGUGGUAGUUCACAUAUAUGUUGUCUAACCAAAUAGGACAUCAUGACACAAUUUCACAUAUAUGAUGCCUAACUAAACAGGAUAGCAUGACACAGUUUCAGAUAUAUGAUGGAUAACUUAACAGGAUAUAAUGGCAUAAUUCAACAUAUGAUGAGUACCUAAACAGGAUGCCAUGACAAAACUAUAUGAUGUCUUUCUAAAAUAGGUUGGGAUGAAACAAUUCACAUACAUGUUGUCUAAGUAUACAAGAUGGCAUGAUAUAAUUGACAUAAUUGAUUCAUAUACUAAGCAGCUGGCACUCGCAUGUAUGAUCUCUAAACUAAGCAGAUAGAAUUCAAUAUUGUGCAUAUGAUGUCUAAACUAAGCAAUGCAAGACACCAUAUGCAUCAUAUGAGAAAUAUAACAUUGCAACUUAGAGCAUACACCUCAGGUGGGAUAUAGGACUGGUCAUCUCUCUCUGAAUCCUCCUCUAAGGAGCUCCCUGUAACCAUCGAGAUAUAUGCUUCAAUAUGUACCAUUGCCUGCUCUGAAGACCUUGUUUUCACUCUAGAUUUUUCCAUAACCGGCUCAAAUGGCUGAUACACAUGAAGAGUAGUUCAAUAUACACAGAUUGUCGACAAAUGGAAUACGUAAUGAAAAAAAAUAUGGCAUGAGAUAAUUCACAUAUAUGAUGCCUGGCUCCAUGGCGGUGCAUAAUUCACAUAUAUGAUAACUGGCUGAAAAACAUGGCAUUGCAUAAUUCACAUAUCUGAUAUAGAAAGCAAACAGGAGGCAUUCACACAAAGCAUGUCUAAUCUAAGCAGAUGGCAUGGCAAUGCAAGACACCAUAUGCAUGAUAUGAGCAAUAUAACCCAGCCAAGUUAGAGCAUGCACCUCGGGGGGGGGGGAUACGACUGGUCAUCUCUCUCUGAAUCCUCCUCUGAGAAGCUAUCUGUAACCAGCAAGAAAUCUGCAUCGACAGGUAGCACUGACUGCUCAGAAGACCUUGUUUUCUCUCCAGAUUUUCCCAUAACUGACUCAAAUGGCUGAUGCACAGGAAGAGUAGAUGAAUGUAUAAACAUUGUUGACAAAUGGAAUACAUUAUGGAAAAAAAUAUGGCACGAUACAAUUCACAUAUACAAUGACUGGCUAAACAGGAUGGCAUUGCAUGAUUCACGUAUAUGAUGCCUGGCUAAAGAAGAUAGCAUUGCAUAAUUCCCAUAUACUCCCUCCGUUCCUAAAUAUUUGUUUUUUAGAGAUUUCAAAUGGACUACCACAUAUGGGUGUAUAUAGACAUAUUUUAGAGUGUAGAUUCACUCAUUUUAUUCCGUAUGUAGUCACUUGUUGAAAUCUCUAAAAAGACAAAUAUUUAGGAAUGGUGGGAGUAUGAUAUAGAAACCAAACAGGUGGCAUUCACACAAAGCAAAUCUAAACUAAGCUGAUGACAUAUAAGAUGUAUAAUAUAAGCAAUGCACGGCGCCAUAUGCAUGAUAUGACCAACAUCAGCAUGCCAGGUUAGACCGAACACCUCAGGUGGUAAACAGGCAUGGUCGACUCCUUCUGAAUCUCCAUCUGAACAGUUAUCUUCCUCUGGAAUACAAUCUGGAAAUGCAGGAGAGGGGGGGCACUUCGCCCACCAUGGAGCAGCGUCUGCAUGACAUUAUAUUCGCACACAACGGUCUUCUCUUUUUCUCUACAUGUUCAGUACGAUUGUGUACAAUAUCUGACAUGCAUAAUAAAAAAUAGUUAGAUUUUGUAAGGCCUAAGGGGUGCAUGCAAAAAUCAAGACUGAUGGUAGCAAACGAGUGGAUGGAUCCAAAACUAAUGAUAGCAGGUAGAGUAUAGCUUCAGUUUAAAAAGAUAGACAAUGGAUCAUCUCUUGUUUGUUGCCCACCCAACAUGAACCACAUAGAAGACCCCAGAUAGUAGACAGAUACUAUUCGUUGCUGGCUCGAUAUGAGACCCAUGGGCAAUUCAAAACUUAAGAUUGAACAAUAAAGUAGCAGGUAAUAAUAACCGAUGUAUAACGUAAACAAACACGAAAGACUGCGACCUCUCUUCCAGAACUGUGUAGUCCUCAGGUUCAUCUUCUCAGUCGAUGAUCGUAAUGCAGUUGGCGUGGCUGCCGGCAACGGGGAAGAUGAUCUGAGGCGGUGAAAGAAAGUCUGCAGGGGGGAUCUCUGCUGCAGUGAACGCUUCUGUCGAUGGUGCACCUCAGGUGGGGUGGAUGACGUCACGGCAAGAGCAGGACAUAGCACACAGAGUUUUCUUUGACGCCAAUCUGAAAAUGAAGUAAAUCUGUAAGGGCUCCUUAGAAUUGGAGGAUUCUAUAAAUGUAGGGACAGGAAAAACACAGGAAUAUGAUAGGAAUGCACGUGCAAAACAGAGCAUUUGGAAACAUAGGAUUUCAGUCAACCUGGGUGUUUGGCUCACAUGAAUUGGAAGAAUAGAGGAACGGAGAAACAAAGUGAUGCGACGAGUGUACAACCUCUUUGGCAUAGCCUUGUGGACCUCAGCAUCAUUGGGUUGGACGUGGAGGAUGUGAUGAUGCUGGUGUGACUGUCAGAGGCGGGGAAGAAGAUCCGAGGCCUCUGGAAACAACGCCGAGGGUACUGCUCCGCUGUGAUGGAUGGUUCCGUUGUUGGAGCAGCUCCGCUAAGGUGUACGGCGGUGAGGCUGAAGCAUGACAAGACAGACAACUUUAAUCUGAAGUGGGACCCUAAUAUCAUCUGCAAUAGAUGAUGUAAAAUACAUCACCAAAAAGUGCUAGAUGUAAAACGCAUCAGCCGCGCCACGGCCACUCGGACAAAUGCUGUAAGUACUGUUCACUCUGAACUUAACUGAAGAAAAUGAACUUCACAGUCGAAACUGAAUUUUACCGUCGAAACUGAUUGAGCUAGUAAUAGAGCAUUGCAAUGGAUGUUUAGGGCGUUCGAGCACUAGUAGCAGAGAAGCAGUGAUCUAAAUCAGCAGACGCUCGAGCUGGGAACGCACUAGUAGAGAGCAAGUCGUGCAGUAGCACCGCGAGCGAGUGCUAAAGCAGCAAGUUCUGUAGCUGCCGGAGGUCGUGCAGCAGCAGCAGCAGCGCAAGAGAGAGCAAGAGAAGAGCAACAGCAUGAACGAAAGCUGGAGCAGUGCAGCAGCGCGACCGACAUCAAGAACAGAGCCGCAGUGCGAGCGAGAGCCGGAGCAGCUGCAGCUAGUGCCGUUGUGGAAGUCACCGCCGAGGAAGCAAGGACAUGGGAGAGAGACGCCGUGGAUGAUGUGGCUGGCGACGGUGCCAUUAAUGGAGACGCCAUGUCUGCUCGGUAUCGAGCACCGACAGCCCCAUGAGAUCGAAUAAAAGAUAAAAUGCAGCAGUGAGUGCAGAACCUCCACCGAGUUGGCCUCGCCUUCAUCGGAGGAAUUGGUGAGGGUGCUGCGGUUCCGGUGGGUCAGGUCAAGACGGCUAUGGGGAUUGAGGUGGCACGAUAGAUGAGGCGAACAUCGGGGCAGCUCCUUGGAGGUGGAGGACGGGGCGGCUGAUCCAGCGGGGCGACGAGAUCGACAAUGGAUCCUCAUCCGGUGCGGUGGAUGAGGGACGGCGAGCUGUUGCGGUGGACGACGUAGUCGGGGAAGAGUCUCCGGCUGGGCGGCGGUUGGGAGGCCGACGGAGGAGCCUGGGGUUUCGCGGGUUUUGGCGGCCUCGGUGUUCGAAUGGGGGGGGGGGCGAAGGGGGAGGGGGAGCCAAGCUUAGGGACGCGCUUGUCCGAAAUAUAGGGUAAGUUACCAGCAUACCCCCACCGGUUUUGACACCGCGAAUUGGAGCUUCAUUUUUGGCUAAGGGGUAGAAGGGGGAUUUCACGUGUCUGGGCCGCGGGAGCGAUUUCGUAUGAGGAGGGAGUUCUCGCACGCGUCCAAAUUUUGGGAUAACAAGGCACGACGCGGGUUGAAGAAGCAGGAGUUUCAAAGCCGGUGAGACAAAAGAUACUCGAGCUUGAAAAUUUCGGGAUAACAAGGUGCGGAUUCCUUGUUCGGCAGAACAAACUUAACGUGUAAAAAAAAUCAUACAAGACACAAGAGAGUCAUGUCCCCUUAUACUAUAUUGCUAUAGAUGCCAUUGAAAAACUACAAGAAAAAUGUAAAAAAAAUCAGGAGAACAAGAUUACCCUGCACAGUACCAAAUCGAUUCGCACUUCCCUCAACAACAACAAAAAACAAAUCAAUUCCCACCAAAGAAAGAGUAAUGUCCCUUUUUAUAUGAUUACAGAUGCCAUGAUCUUGAAUUUCAAUUUUUGAAUCCACGUUAUGUUGAAUUCGAAUAUAUCAUUAGGUGACCUUGCGGUUUAUAAUUGAUGUAGUUGUACAUUUUGAUCUUCCAUCAUAUAUGAACAUUUUACUCCACCAUGUGAACAUAUAUAUCAUCGUCUACCACAUGGACUAAAUUUGAAUCAAUUUUCCUUAUUUGAAUACGAUUGUUGUCAAGUUAUACAAUAAUUUAAAUAUUAUCUUGAUAACAAAAAGACAUGCAUAUAGCAGUAAUCAUAUUUCACUAUGAACUACAUGUACAAUAUGCUCUCCAAUUCAAAUAUCUGUAUCCAUUUUAUGUUGAAUUCAAAUCAUUGUACAUUAUUGGUCUAGGUAGCGAGAUGUUCGGGAUAAUCUAAACCCUAUUUUCAUACGUAUAAUUUUGGCUGAAUUGGGACAAGUUUUGGUAUAAGCCUCUUGCAAAACCGGAGAUUCUCUCAACAAUCCUCGUGGUUCCGAGAGGGGACGUGUCACCUUUAUGUGCGAAACGAUAUACGCUGCCUCCCCCCUGACUUUAUUUACAGAGGCAACAUAGAACUAUAUGAGUGCCCUGUUAAAUUUUGGAAUUAUUUUGGGUUCAUUUGGCCUUUUUAUACAUUAAUUGAGUUUUUGGACUUUUAAUGUGCAUAAUCUAAAUAUGAAUUGCAUGCACAUGCUCCGGUGCACCAAAGUGGGUUGAAAAAUCACAUGUGUGUCCUUGGUUGAAUUUCUAGGUCCCAUGGAAGAAAUGAGAAUGAAGUUCAAACAUCUGGGCGUCAUGACUCUGCCGAGAACAUUGAGGAACUUAGAUUUUAAAUUUAUUUAAAUCCAAAACUCGGCUGGAAAUCAUGAAACUUGGCAUGGUGUCAUGUCAUGGCACUAACAUGUUGUGGUAAAAAAUUGGGCCGAUUUGGAAGCUCGUGGUUCUAAGAGGGAAUGNNNNNNNNNNNNNNNNNNNNNNNNNNNNNNNNNNNNNNNNNNNNNNNNNNNNNNNNNNNNNNNNNNNNNNNNNNNNNNNNNNNNNNNNNNNNNNNNNNNNNNNNNNNNNNNNNNNNNNNNNNNNNNNNNNNNNNNNNNNUUAACAAAGGCAACAUAGAACUACAUUAGUGCCAUGUUAAAUUUUGGAAUUAUUCCGUGUUCAUUUGUUGUUUUUAUACAUUAAUUGAGUUUCUAGUCAUUUAAUGUGCAUAAGUCAAAUUUGAACUACAAGCACAUGCUCUCGUGCACCAAAGUUGGUUGAAAAAUCACAUUUGUGUCCUCGAGUGAAUUUCUAGGUCCCAUGCAAGAAAUCAGAAUAAAAUUAAAACAUCUGGACAUCGUGGCUCGACCGAGAACAUUGAGAAACUUGGUUUUAAAAUUCUUGUAAAUCCAAAACACGUCUGAAAAUCAUAAACUUGGCAUGGAUGUCAUGUCAUGGUACUACCAUGUUGUGGUAAAAAAAUGGCUGAAUAGGAACAGAUUUUGGUAUAAGCUUCUUGCAAACCGAAGCUUCUCUCAAGAAGGCUCGUGGUUCUGAGAGGGAACGUGUCACCUUUGAGUGCGAAACGAUAUACGUUGUCCCCCUUGAGUUUAUUUACAAAGGCAACAUAGAACUACAUGAGUGCCUUGUUAAAUGUUGGAAUUAUUCCGGCUUCGUUUGGCCUUAUUUACACAUUAAUUGAGUUUUUGGUCAUUUAAUGUGCAUAAUUCAAAUUUGAACUACAAGCACGUGCUCUCGUGCACCAAAGUUGGUUAAAAAAUCACAUUUGUGUCCUCGGGUGAAUUUAUACUCCCAUGCAAAAAAUGAGAAUAAGAUUCAAACAUCUGGGCAUCGUGGCUCGGUCGAGAACAUUGAGAAACUUGGUUUUAAAAUCAUGAAACUUGGCAUGGUGUCAUGUCAUGGUAGUACCAUGCCAUGGUAAAAAAAUUGGCCGAAUAGGAACAAAUUUUGGUAUAAGCAUCUUGCAAAUCGGAGCUUCUCUCAAGAAGGCUCGUGGUUCUGGGAGGGAACGUACGUGUCACCUUUGUGUGCAUAAUUCAAAUUUGAAAUACAAGCACAUGUUCCAGUGCACCAAAGUUGGUUGAAAAAUCACAUGUGUGUCCUCGGGUAAAUUUCUAGGUUCCAUGCAAGAAAUGGGAAUGAAAUUCAAAAUUCUGGGCGUCGUGGCUGGGUUGGAAACAUUGAGAAACUUAGUUUUUUAAUUCUUGUAAAUUCAAAACACGCAUGAAAAUAAUGAAACUUGACUUGGUGCCAUGACAUGGCACCAACAUGCUGUGGUAAAUUUGCAGUCCGAUUUGCGAAGGCGCACACAUUAACAAUCAACAAAGUCAUUUUGGAACAAGUGUUGUCACGUUACAAUCGGAAACACAAGUAUUAUUGAAAUCGUGGGCGUUCUAGUUACUAGUACCAUUUACGUGCUGCCACGCGUCCCCAUUUUUUAUUAGCUAGGAGGCGCCGUGCAGGGUAGCUAUUUGAGUACGAGAGGCGUGCGAUCAGACCCCUGCGCGUGCUUAUCGGGAGGAGAGUCCUUUGACCUCCAUCUGCCGUCCACCUCUCUCCCAAGGUCUCCAUUAAUGGCACCCGAGCCUCUAUUUAAUGGCGUGGCUAUGUCUCACUCGACUGAGAUUUAAGAGAGAGAAAAGAAAAUCUGAAAGCACGGAUCUUGAUGUAAGAUCCGACGGACCUAUAUAGCAUCUACUGCGACUUAUAGCAAGACUGAUGAAUAUAUAAGGAUGAUUUUUUUAUCAAAGAAGGGCUUGCCCCUUCCGAUUUUCAUUACUGAAAACCACCACAAUUCACAAGAAGUUCAGCACAACUCCAUCCUAACACGAAGGACUAAAAGCUACUCCCCCCGUCCCAUAAUAUAAGACGGUUUUUGACACUAGUGUAGUGUCAAAAAACGUCUUACAUUAUGAGACAGAGGGAGUACCAGAUUGAAAUCGCAACAUCCCAAGAGGCCAACAAAGGCCAAACAUCCGCGCUAGAACCCAACAUUUCACAACCGACGACACAAUCCACAUCCUAAACCGAUUAUUACAUCAAAAGAACACAGGAAACUGAAGGAAGCCCAGCAGCAACUAGAAGAACAACAACGCCAGGGUCGCCACAGCAAGAGUUUUCUUCAUUCCAGCCUCACAACAUUGAUCUUCCACAGAAAGAUAAGGACGAUUAAUUGUCUUACAUAAUUAGAAAGAUAAUUAAAAAAGCCACAUGCGGCUACGCCCGAAAUACACAAGGGCAAAAGAAGAAGGAAGACAAGGAUCUGGCUCACUGAUCUCUACUUUCUUGAUGCGUUGUUGCAGGCCGCGGGAACUAGUCUCCGCGGCGAGAGCUCUUUCAUGUCCUCAAGACGCUGCUUGAGAACAUCCAUGGAUUCCUCCACCAGCCUUUGGCACUCGUUGUGGAGCAUGUCAUUCUCGUCCAUAAGUUUCUUGACGAUGACGCUGGUCCUCUUCAACAAGGCAUUGGUCUCCUCCUGCUGGUCUGCACUUCGGAUGAUCUUCUCCCUCAGCAGGUCGCGCUCGGCCCGAAGCCUCUCAUUGCCCUCCCUUAGUUGCUGGAUGACGCUGGUAGACUGUUCGAACGAGGCUUUCACAUCGUCCUACAACCUCGCCAAGCCGGAGAUCUGAUCUAUCUGGCUAUGGACGAUCGCAUGCAUGCGCCUGUAACAGUCGUCGCCUGCCCGCGAGAAAUUUUCCCAGGCUGCCACGGCGCGGCGGGACAUCUCUGCUGCAUUCGUGGCGCGGCGGGACAUCUCUGCUGCUUCCGCGGCACGGCCGGACCAGUCUUCUGCAUCGACGGCACGACGGGACCUCCGUGCUGCUUCAGCGGCGCGGCGGGACCUCUCUGCUACUACUUCCGCGCGGCGGAACAUGUCGGCUGCUCUCGCAGCGAGAAGGGACAUCUCUCGUGCUUCCGCUUCCAUGCUCGCCUCUCCCUGGUGGCAAUCUCUCGACCCAGAACUCACGCUGGCCAUGGCAGACGCAAGGGAAGGAUGCUGAAUGACUUGUUUGUUUUUGUGGAUGAGGAGUUGAGGAGGAAUGUGCAGUCAUCUUGGCAUACUAGUAUUUAUAACCGAGUACUAAUACGCUCCUAAGUGGGAAACCGUUUAGGUUGUGAUUGGUGUGAACAUGUUUGGAAUUCAAUAUAGCGGGAUACUAAUACGCUCCUAAGUGGGAAACCGUUUAGGUUGUGAUCGGUGUGAACAUGCCUGCAAUUCAAUAUAGCGUGGAGUAAUUUGGAAUGUGACGAGACGAAAGCUCAAAAUUUAUUGACGGUUCUAGUUUCGAAGUGCGGCACUACUCCUGGAUGGACUACUUCUUUUUCUACUCCCUCCUUUCUAGUUUUAUAGGGCUUAUCUCAAAAUUUUAGUUUUUCCAUUUUAUAAGGCUCAAUUUGGUUGUUCCCCAACACAUGUUCAGAUUCCAAGGUGCAUUAAUUCAUUGCAUGCAAGUAUUAAGAGAAAAUUGACUAAUGCAUGUACUUUAUGCAUGCAUGCAUUGCAAUUAAUGCAUUGAUAAACAUAAUCUUUUGAGAAAAACAAGAGCAUUAAUUAGGUGCUUUUGCAAACUACAAAAAAUAUUCCACCACUCACCAUAAACUGGAAAGGAGGGAGUACUGCUGUGUAAGUGCAAUAACUGGCACCGCCGUAUACAUAUCUUACGGUUAAUGGGGCGUUCGGCAGGAAUACCCGCGUGGCGAGCUCUAGGCUAGUCCUUUUUUCAGACGCAUUAAACCUAUCUCUCGGGACUUCUCGCACGCACCAUCGUGCCACCCACAAAAACUUGUACUAUCAGUUUAGUAGUACGUUAUAUAGGAAGAGAAGAGGUGCACGCACGCACUCGUCCUCUCACACACGCGUCUAUUUUUUUCUCGAAAAGGAGGAUGAUGAUCCUCGGCCUCUGGAUCUGGGAGUCACACACGCAUCUGUAGCUACGAAUUGUAGUGUUCUCAACCAUCAGAUUGGCUCUAUCAUGGAUGUACCUAUACAGACGCAUCUGGGAGUGCUUGUCAUCAAAAUGGAUAAAAAGGGACGUAUCUAGAACUAAAAUAUGUCUACAUACAUCUCCUUUUAUCCAUUUUGAUGACAAGUAGUACUUCUUACCCAAAGGAACUUUAUAUCCAACAGACACAAAAGAUCCGUUCGACUAUUGGAAAUUACUGAUCUGAUGUCGAAGUAAUUGCUGCAUCGCCACCAAAACCCACCAUUUCUUAAGCUAAAGUAGACCAAGGUAAUCCCUAUAUUAGCAUAUUACUAAGAUAAACAGAAGGCACUGUCGAAACAUGUAGGACGUGAGCUUGUCAAUCUGAAUGUGGAGGCACACAAGCUUAGCCCCGGCCAGCAGCUUGGGCAGAACUGUCAAGAAGGUCAGCUCCUGCAUGUCGACGUCGCCGGGAUCCUUGCUGCUUGUCACCUCAAUUUCCACCUCGACGGCAUCGGUCGUGCCUUUGGGCUCCCCCGACGGGCCGUUCGCCCACAGCUUGGCCCAAUAGUGCGGUAGUGGGGACACCCCCAUUCUGAUGCAGACGACCGACACGGCGAUAGGCGCGCCGAUGUCGAGCACGCCGCCGACCAAGAAAAACGUGUGAUGGUCCUCCUUCGCGAACAACAAGAGCCGUGGUUCCGACAGUGGCACUUGCAGUUGGAGCACCUUGUCGUACUAGAUCCUGUGCACGGGCAUGGGAUGCGUGUUGCUGAUGUGGUGGUAGAGCGCCGGCGGCGGGCCUUCGUAGCCGCAGACGGGCACGGGGCAUUUGUAGGGCGCGAGCGGACACACGCUCUGGUGAUCGGCGAGCUUGUGGUAAGUGACGUAGAGCCCACAACCUUCGUGCGGGCACUCCACCCUCAGCGAUGAAACGAUGGCGUCCACCGCCGUGUUCCGUACGUCGAAGCCACCCCCGCACUCGCACUUCUGGGACUACCGCUGGUUCCCGGGACGCUCGACGCAGCAGUCCGUGCAGGCCAAGUGCCCUCGAUUGCACUGCAGAAAUCAAUCGAACAACACAUCAAUCAAGAAACCUGCACCUUGCUCAAUCAGCCAAAUGGACGAGGUGUAUUCGAACCUCAUUCACUGGAGGCAUCAAGGGGCGGAGGCACAAGGGGCAGUGGAGCACGGUGAGGUCCAUCGAGACCUUAGUGAGCUCCCUCGUCGGUUCCUGUUCCGUCUGCAUGAUCUCACCCUCCUCGUGCACAACCAUCUCUCGCUUGGGCCGGGGCAUUACAAAGCUUUACCGUCACAUAUUUUAUACUCUGCGCAUAACUGUCCUCUCGCAUACCAAGGAAGGCAGUAGUUUGAGUUUUCUGGACAAAUUUGCCCCUAUGCAUGAGAAAGCUACAUAAAUAUCGACAGUAAAUGCGCAUGCAAUGGUUGGCCGGUCCUCCUUCCUUUUCACUUGAGUUGGCUUCCCCAGGCGGUCAAGCCGCAUCCGGCGCUGCACGCGUUUGCCUGUAGCCAUUUUCUAAUUUGGAAACUGGCGCGAUUAAUGGGGGCAGAACUAAUCAAGCGGGGGCACAGAUGGAAACCAACGCGGACGCGCAGACUAAUCUGAGAAAAACAAGAAAAAGUUAUACGCAAAGUAAAAGGAAUCGGAGGGAGUACUACUUCAAGGUGCAUUAAAUCAACACAUGCAAGUAUCAAAAGGAGAGUCACGUCAUGCAUGCAUGUGUUGUAAUUAAUGCAUCGGUAACCCUAAAUUAUUGAAAUAUAUCGAGUGCAGUGCUUUGAUGUGUCGUGUCAACUCGUACAUCAAUGAGAAGUUUGAUUAUCCUCUCCCUCGCGGACUUAACUGCACCUGCCUUUGGCUGUAUGAUAGGUUGGCCACACACCUGUCAGGCCCACCUGUCAUACACGCAAAGACAGGAGCGUCCCUCCCUCGCCCAUGAGCGUGGUGGCUGGCAAGACUAGGAGAAGCUUUCGCUACACGCUCUCCCUCCCGCACGCGGUGGACAUGCAGUCGUUCAAUCGGUGUCAGAUGGCCAGAAGCGUACUAUAGUACUCCUCCAGUGCAGUAGUACAUCAUCAUUGUUCGACUUCCCGAAGAGGCGAAGAGCCAAGCGCAGCACGGAUGCUCGUGUGGCAGUUUCAUGUGUAGAGUAGUCUAGAUAGCGUCUACCGUGCAUGUAAACUUAAAAUCGCUGGGGUCGGCUCCAUGCUAUGUGGCCGUCUUGAAGUUUUUUUUUAAAUUAAAAUAGUCUUCUGGCCCUACCUGUCACCCUGGUGAUUGUAGUUUGCAUGCUCAUCUGGUCAAGACAGGAAUAUAUAUUUUAAUUUGUUUUUUUGAAAAGGGCGGACACCCCGGCCUCUGCAUCAGAACAAUGCAUACAGCCACAUAUAUUUUAAUUUGUGGUGGAUAAAUGUUAGAGGUUGCAGCAAAUAUAUUGUACACUGCGGGUCUUUCAGCCAAGUUUAGAGGCAAGCAUGUGGGCCAGUGCUAUGAUGUGUCGCGUCAACUCGUAGAACGAGGAGAAGCUUGAUUUUACUACACACCUUCUCCCUCGCCCAUGCGCGCUGUUGCUCGCAAAUGAGGACAGACUUUUGCUUAGUAGUACUUCUAAAACAAGCUAUCCGUCCCGCUCGCGGUGGACGGACAUGCAGCAGUGGAUUCGACACUGUAGAAGCAGUAGUAGUAACAUCAUUGUUCGUCUUCUCGAAGAGGCGAAGACCCAAGCGCAAACCGAACGUUGCAGUUGCGAACAUUGGAGCACGCAUAUAGCCAGGCUCUUGCAUGAGACAAAAUUGCUAUGUGAGCCCACUAUUGUACUAGUACAUACAACUACUUGCUAGUAUAGCCCUAUAAACCAGAAAGGAGUAUUUGCCCUUCUAGAGAUUUCAACAAGUGACUAGACUACACCGAGACAGAGUACAUAUGGAGCAAAAUGAGUGAAUCUGCACCGUAAAUAAAUACGUACUAGUUCUAUCGUUUUCCUCUCCGAGGUGCACAAUAUUGAGUAUACUGACUAGUCUCUUUUUGACACGCAUUUACGUUGUUUUUUUUUGACACAGUACAGACGCAAGUGCUCAUAUACACGCGCAUACACUCAUCCCCAUGAACGCACACACGCACAGCACUAUCAUCUUGAAAUUUACGAAGUCACCAUAGGCACCUCGUCGUCGACGGGUCCAUAGGUGCCUGAAUGCCAAGGAGGAAGAGGGUAGCGGUUCCCGAGACGUUGAACAGUCAAUGAUGCAUCCUCAAUUACAUGCAGAGGGAAUUAAUUGGAGAAGCAGACUAGAGCCAGCAUGAUGUGAAUGCAAUAGAGUUUGGACUCUCAUAUAAUAAAGGCGCCCCAGCACUCCAAUCCAUCUACUCCCAAGUCUCUGCGCAACACUACUCACUCCAAUCCAAGACCAAGUGACCAGAAGCCACAAGCACCUAUGGAGGCGAUGGACGCGAGCGGCAGUCGGUUGUGCUAAAUCAUCCAAGGUGCCAGCCUGCAGCCCCGCACCAUGCAGCAUUUCUAGACGGUGCUGGCGACUGCAGGCAUCGUAGCCCUCGCCGACGCUGGCUUUGCCUUUCGCAUGGACGACAUGAUGGUCAACUCCAUCCGCAAGUUCACCGCUAUCAAGAAGCGCGCGGACGACCUUGCCGUACUGCUCCAGCCUGCGUGCCCAGGCUCCUCAUUGCCUGCCACCCUCAUCGGCCUACAUGGUGACGAACUCUUUCAAGCCCUGGUGGCCCUGCAGGUGCCGGAGGUCGCGACGAAGAAUGUGCACCUCGAGGCCUCGCUCGCCGCGCAACGCCUUGCCAUGCAGGAAACCGUCGACCUGCACAUCCACGUCUACGAGGAAAUCGUCUACAUAGGCCACUACAAGGCAAGCGAGGACAGAAAGACGUUGGCCUUCUUCCAGCGGCUGUAAUCUUUGGACACCAUUGUUCAGAAGCACGUCGACCUGGCCAAGAAAGCCGCUGCUACUUAGGCAUCGUUCGGUGGGUCGGCGCCCUGAGUCGAGGAGGUGGACAUCAUCGAUGGAUGCAUCUCUUCUUCUUGCUUCCUGUAACCAGCACUGCAUCGCCUCGUGGCCUUAAUGUUUUAUUAGUAUAGUACUCCCUCCGAUCCCAAAUAUAAGUCUUUCUAAAGAUUCCAGCAAGUGACUACUACAUACGGAGCAAAAUGAGUGAAUCUAAGCUCUAAACUAUGUCUUCAUACAUCUGUAUGAUAUAUUCCAUUUGAACUAGUAUCUAAAAAGGCUUAUAUUUAUGAACGGAGGGUGUAUACGGCAUUUUUUAUUCCAGUCAUAACGUUUUCACUAUGAGGAGGGGCCGCAGUUGAGCAAACCCACCCCACCCACCGGGCGUCGGCCAAGUUUAGAAUUAGAAGAGAGAAACGAGGGAGGAGAGCUAGCUGUAGCACGGACGCUGUUGUCAGAUGGGACUCGUGUUUAUAGAAUAGGAGUACUGAGCACUCGUGCCUCUCUUUUUUGAGGGAAAAAUUAAUCGUAUGUCUAGUACCACUAGUUGGUGCGUGCGACCUAUAGCUGUCAUCACUUUAGGUCUCCUUUUCGAACUGUGGCUAUGCUUCACAGUACAUAUUUUUUCACGCAUUUAUCCUCCUAUAUGUACUCCGAGGCUAUUUCCACAUGCUCCCAUUUGCCGACAUGUGGGACAUAGAGCAUCUGGGUCAUAGUGCAUGCACGACUCGGAGCAUAUGCCGGGGUACUUUACAUUUCAGACCUCACGAAUUACAUGCAAACCCCUCGCAGAAGAAUAAAUAAAUCAAUGAAUUACUACAUGAAACCAGAUUAUUUUCGUGGAAACCGGAGCACGUUCAUUAAAUUUUGGACAUAACACGUUUAUAAAAAAUGACCAGACCUAAACCAAUCUAAGGGCCUCUUUGAUUUUUCUCAAAAAAGGGCCUCGUUGAUUCGCAGGAUACUGAAAACACGGGAAUGGGGAAAGUAUGAUGGCGAUGAACCGAGACGAGGAGAACUCUAACUCAGUUAGAGAUUAGAGUUAGAUUCUAACCCUGAACUAACUCUAAACCAAAGAGGUGUAUGGAUGGCAGGGUUAGAUUGACAAUAAAUGCUCUAUCUCAAUCAUUUGACUACUUUGGACCCUAUUUUUAGUCAGACUAAAAUAAGUCCCUUGGAUCCAAGCACCCUCUUGGUGUGGCCGGCUCAUCUGUGGCCUCCUCCCGCUCACAAUUGACAUAAAUGAACCAUCUAUACAAAUCAAGCAUGCAAAACAUGAUGAUUUUUACUUUGUCCAUACAAAUGAGAUAUCCCACUUAAACAUACAAGUCGUCAAUCAAGCUUCACAAAAUAAAAAAACACUUCAUGAAACAAAGAAUGAGCUAACUCAUCACGGAAGUCGUUCACGAUAGGGAGGGAGCCCGGAGCCCCUCACGCACCGAGGGAGGAGCUCGCCAUCGUCGCUCUGGAGGAAGGCUCUGUAGAGCCCAAGCCUCGGGAACCCCUCUGACGCCGGCCCUUGCUAGUUGAGGUCGACUCCAGCAUGGGUAGUAGGGCCGCUUGCCGUCGACUUGGAACUUAAUCUUUGGGCAUCUAGAAAUAAUGCAAGCUUGUAACUAAAAUACCUAGAAAGGUGAACUGAAUCUUUGGGCCUCUAGAAAUAAUGCAAGCCUGAAACUGAAAUACCUAGAAAGGUGAACUGUAUCUUUGGGCCUCUAGAAAUAAUGCAAGUGUGAAACUUAAAUACCUAGAAAGGUGAACUGAAUCUUUGGGCCUCUAGAAAUAAUGCAAGCCUAAAACUGAAAUACCUAGAAAGGUGAACUGAAUCUUUGGGCCUCUAAAAAUAAUGCAACCCUGAAACUAAAAUACCUAGAAAGGUGAACUGAAUCUUUGGGCCUCUAGAAAUAAUGCAAGCCUGAAACUCAAAUACCUAGAAAGGUGAACUGAAUCUUUGGGCCUCUAGAAACAAUGCAAGCCUAAAAUUGAAAUACCUAGAAAGGUGAACUGAAUCUUUGGGCCUCUACAAAUAAUGCAAGCCUGAAAUUGAAAUACCUAGAAAGGUGACCUGAAUCUUUGGGCCUAUAGAAAGAUUUAUUACCUCCUUAAGCAGCAUCAAACAAUUCCAUGCAUGCACCGCAAAUCUAUAGCAAGUUUGAUCAGGAUCUACUUUUCCAAAUCAGAAUUCACGCUAGAGCAAGCAAGAUCAAUGAUACGGCCGUGAGACAGAGAAGGAGGGAACAAACUCACCCCUCUCGCGACCUCCCUGGUAGAUGCGCUGCCGCCGCGCAUGACAGAGGGAGAAAAACGACUGGUGAAGGGGGAGCGGGGCGACCUUCGAAGGUCGGAGGGAGAGGGCGGCCGGAGUAGGGCGGCGGAGGCCGAAAGGAGAGGGCGGCCGGAGGAGAGAGAGGGCUUGCGGCGCUUGGGCGGCCCUAUGGGGAAUAGAGAGGAGUCAUGCGAGAGGGGGGGAGCGAUCUGGUGCGGGCAGGUGAGAUUUUUUUAUGGGAGCGAUCUGGUAUGGGCAGGUGAGAUUUUUUUAGUUCUCUUUUAGUGGGCCUGAGGAUAACUAACCCAAUUAGAACCUCUCCACCGGGCUAGUUUUUUUAGCUGGGUUAGAGCAAACUAGCUCAAACUAACCCCUCUUGUUUUGAUAAUUUGAGGCUAUUUCAACCCAAACUAGCUCUAACUCAGGGAUCCAAACAAAGAGGAGUGUUACUGUACAUGCUACAGUGUGGACCGUAGCACAUUGUUUUUUAUGGCCAUGUCACCACAUUGUUUUCUACUGCUGGUUCACUGGGCUACCGUGGUUCGCACGGCUGGUUCACUGGGCUGUCGUGGUUCGCACUCCUCCGACCUGAGUAGUAUAGUAUAGUACUAGUAUAUACCGCAUCGUUCUUUGCUCCUUCUUACUACUCCGACAUGUGGGAGAGCCAGCAUCCGGGUCGACGUGUCAUGCACCAGAUUAGAGCGCGGAACAGAAGGGGGGCAUCACCCCGGUCGGAGCACCAGUAAUUCAUGACUAUAGUGAGUGGUCAUAUCACAAGUCUUUCCAGCAAUAACGCGCCGUCAAAUCGCACAGCCCCACUCGCUCACCCUCCUCGCCUCUCUGUCAAACCUUCUACCCGAAAACUGCCGCGCGUACUGCCCGGGAAAAGCCCCGCCCUCAACUUUUAACUACGCGAAAAUAGUUCGAGCUUGUUCGUUCUAUAUAAAUACAAUACUUACUGUAUGUUUAUUCACCCAUGGGGUUGUUCAAUGAACAGAGGGGCGGGGAGCACAAGUGAACAAUAUUGUAGUAGUAAGUAGGAGUCGUAGAGUAGUCACCUUAAAUAGAGAGUUUCUUUUCUUUAAUGCCACGUACACAAAUUGAAACGCUUGUUGUGGAGAGAAAAAAGAUAAUCACUCCACUAUAUAUGGACGCAGGGGCCUGAGCGCUUGCUUUACUAGGGUUGCUCUCUUCAUUCUCUCAUCCUCUUCAGAUAUAAACAAGACAGCUGGAGCGACAUUUUCUCUCUGCUCACCGCUGGUCACAGAUCCGGCCGAAUCCCUUCGGCCGGUGUGUGUAGAGGACUAAAAGGUGCAUCGUUCACGCGGUCAUCGCCGCCGAGGGAGGAAACCCACAGCUGCCGGAGGGGCCCGAUCCUCUGCCCGUGCCGUUCUGUCCGACACAGCACUGGCUCGGGAGGCCCUCCGACCCUUCUUCCUCCCUGCCAUAUUGUCCGCAGAUCCGACCUGCCGCCGCCGACAUCCCGGUGACCCUCAGGUAUAAGUUCUUCGAAAGCGGCCUUGCUCUACUGCCCCAGCUCCCCACGUGUCUACAUGUGCAUCUUUUUCUACUCUCAUCAGCUCUUCCAAAGCCACCUAAAUUUUUAGUAUUAUUAGAGGUAAAGCUACUUCAUGCAUUCGAAUCUAGGGCUUUGUUCAAAUAACAAAGAAAGGGGGGAAAGUUGUAGCAUGAAUCUAGGACUUGAUUCAAAGAGGAAAUAAUAUGGUGAAAGUAGUAGAGAUCGGAUACCCAACCAGUCUCUUGGUUGAAAAGGGAAAUAAUGGGAAAACGUAGUACAAACUGGAUAAGGAACAUAUCUAUUAUUGGUUGAAAAAAGGAUAGAAAGUGGCGGCUGGUGGACAAGUCAACAGAGUAUGUCCAGGAUUCGAUUUGCUACCAUCACAUAGUAAAAGGUCUCCAGGAUUAGAUUUUCUGCCCUCACAUAGUAAAAGGUCGCAUGAUUAGAUUUGCUGCCCUCACAUAGUAAAAGGUCUCAAGAUUAGAUUUGCUACCCUCACAUAGUAAAAGGUCUCAUGAUUAGAUUUGCUGCCCUCACAUAGUAAAAGGUCUCAGGAUUAGAUUUGCUGCCCUCACAUAGUAAAAGGUCUCCAGGAUUAGAUUUGCUGCCCUCACAUAGUAAAAGGUCUCCAGGAUUAGGUUUGCUAACCUCACAUAGCGUGAACAAGCUCGGCAUCACCACUUUAUGCCUCCUUGUAGGUACAUUGUGCUGAUGCAUCCACUGUCGCAUGUCCUUAUACCAACCUUCUGCUGUUGUUAAUGUAAGGCCGCAUGCAAAAUGAAGCGAUCACACCGUUACCUUAGGGACAUGUCUAACCAGUGUUAUUGUUAAUCUAAUGCCUCCAGUGAUAAGAUGCAAUUAAACUGUGUUACAAAUGGCACUCAUGCUGUUUUCCCCAGUAUGAUAAGUAAGUUGCUCCUUUACGCUGCUGACUGUCCUGGUGUCCCCACGGUCCCAUGCCCUUAAACCAACUCUUUAGCUGCUGUUGAUUUACUGUGUCUGGUAAACAAGCAAUGCCACCAUUAAAGUAAUCCCAUAUCUAAGGAAUCUCAUUGUUGAUCGUAAUGCUUCUGGUAACAUGAAGCAUUGCUGAUGUUUUAAAAUUUCUACUGUCCUUGCAUGAUUGCCAUGAACAUAAUUAAGAUGCUUCUUUUCAUUUUGUAUAUGUUUCGUAUAUUCUUAUUGACUAGCAACUGUUUACUUUCUAUCAUUUUGUGCAGAUAGGGAUAUCGAUUUCACCUUGUUGCUAUUGUGACCUUUUGGUGAACUGCACAAAACACUUUUUUUUGAAUGAGUGUCUUAUGCAGUUCAACUAAAAUGUCACGUGGGCAACAUCUCUCAAUUUUGGUGGAACUGCACAAAAUGGUGAUUGGAGUUUCCAAAAUCUCCGUCAAGUUCUGCUGGUAAUCUCGUGCAACAUUUUAUUAGCCUUUGCAAGAUGGAGCAGUCACUGUCACCACAAUGGCACUUUAUUUUAGUGGAACUGCACAAAAGGAUAAGAAAAUUAUAGUUGCACCUUACAUGAGCCGGACAGCCAACCUUAAUGUUCCUCAAUUUUAGUGCAACUACUCAAGAAGAACCUGCCAGCUCACAAGAGCAAGUACUUCUUGCUAGCUGAAUGAUGCAAUCUUUGCUUCAUUUCAGGUGAACCGCAGAAAAAGGCGCAUGAAUUGAAUAAUGGAACUCCAGGCAGACCUCAUCCUAGUGGAUCUGGAGGUUGAGUUCAAGGAGACCGCUAUUAAAGUGAAAUCAUGCUUUCCUGUCUCCUUGUUUGUGCUGUGCAAGCAUGCUAUGCAAACGGGAAUACUCAACUACAGAUGUUGUGACGGUCAAGAGCAUUCGCCAAGUUCUUCGAUUGUAUGACAUGGCUAGCCAAGAUGGAUUUAAUCACGAUAUUCACUUUAUCAAAAGGCUCUAAUGGGUUGGUUCUUAGUCUUGCAAGCUGGGAAUCAAUGAGAUGUGUAGGCAUCUUUGUUGUACUUAUUAUUUGAAUCUUAUUUGUUGGUUCUGAAUCUUGCAAGCUGGGAAUCAAUGAGAUGUGUAGGCAUCUUUGUUGUACUUAUUAUUUGGAUCUCAUUUGUUGGUUCUGAAUCUUGCAAGCUGGGAAUCAAUGAGAUGUGUAGGCAUCUUUGUUGUACUUAUUAUUUGGAUCUUAUUUGUUGGUUCUAAAUCUUGCAAGCUGGGAAACACAGCAUGAUGAUGUAGAGGAUAGCAACCAUAACAAACAGUUCAAACUUGGUAGUAUUAUCUUUGUGAAAGUGCGACAAAUGUGUUGAUCGUGUGCGUCCUGAGAAUAAUAAUUCUAAUUGUUGUGCAUGUUGAUCCCGUGGCACUGAUAGAAUGAGCCAAUGCAUUGCUUGUUUUAAGUAUAAAUUUGUAUUAAAGCUAAUUAAAUUUAAGUAAAGUGACCACUAACUCCUGUUAUUACAGUACCAAUACAGACCCGCUCGUGAACCGACGUGUGGCCGGAGUCGGUUUCUUAAUGGAGGCAUUUGAAUGUGCCGAGGGUGCAUCUUCUGACGGGCGUGCAGCGGACGAGGAAGGGGUAGUAACUGUUGUCGCCUGUACACACUCAGCUUACUAUUGAAUCCAGUUCCCCAAGAGCUGAAAAACGAACUGUUGCCGCCGCCUACACACUCGUUCACUCAAAGAGACUCCAAUGGCGAUCCGAGGGGUGAGCCUGCUGGAUAUGGACUUCAGCAAGGAGUUAGUUCGCCGUUCAGUCCUAUGGCUGCAGCAAGUUGAAUGUGAUGUACACCAACGAUACGGACUCGGUGAAGCUCUGCCUCGCCUCAGUCCUAUGGCUGCACCAGGUUCUGGAGCAUUCAUUUGUUUCAUCGGCAGCGCCGACUGCACCUUCGUUGCGGUGGAGAGAAGGAAGAACGUGACGAUUCGGCCAUCUGGUGCAACAAGCUUGUCGACAUCCAGAAGCAAUACAAGAUCAUCAGCAACGGGCAGGAGAAGGACUCCGUGGUUGACCUCGCUGAGACCAUCAUCGACCCCUGAUACGCCAACAUGAGAGAAGACGACCUGAACACGUGGGAGGUACCUCUGAAUCUAGCCUACAUAACCUACGCGUCCAAGGACGCAUACGCAUGCUACGACAUGUACAGGUAGAUCUUGGACAUGAGGGUGUGUCUGCUUCUCGUAACCAACGAGUACACGGACAGCCGCAGCGUCAUGAUCAAGCGUGCCAGGAAGGUCUAGAUGUUGUACUUUAUCUAUUUAUAAGCACCUUUAUCAUCUGAGUGUUUCAUGCAUUAGCCUAUGUGUCGUAAUUAUCUGUUUUGUCCGAAAUAUUUCCUUUAAGAACCCAUUAACCUGAUUGCUUUUUUUAGUGGCUAUUUGCUUAUGUAUGUAAACUAGUUCACUUGUCCAUAAAAACACUAGUUCACUCGGCUGCCGUGCUUUGAAUCUCCUUCCUCCCAACAUAUUCCUCUCCUCAGGUGGACCCAGCAGGUCUCUGAAUUUUCUCCCACUUUCUUUUUCGAUGUAAACUAAGUUUUCUCCCAGUACUUUCCCUUAGAACCAACUCAACUGUCCCACGUCUAGCCUAAAAAAUAAUAACACCCCACGUACUAUUAACUCAUCAAAUUAAAAUGAUAUUUUAUUUCGUAAGUUGAAAGUUCUUACAAAAUAAUAAUAACAAUUGUUUAUAUAUAACUUGGCAAGUUAACUCCUAGUGAUUGCGUACAUAAGCUUGCAAAGAUUUUACUGACGUGCAAUCAUGUGUUUAUGUUUUUAUAACAUUUCUCCGUCUAGCCCAACAUGAUAUUUUCACCCAGCCUAGCAUGUCUGUGGAUUUCGAGAAAAUGCAAAUGGGAUUUAAACGGGUUGCAUAGAUGCUACAUCAUUGUUUCACCCAGCCCACCAAAUGGACUAAAAAACAAAUGGACUGGCUGACAUGUGGGCCAGUAGGUCGAAGCCUAAGAAGGCGUUGGAUUUACAUCCAACGAUCGGCAUUCUUCUUCAAUCUCUCGUCUUCUUCCCCCAGCGCUGCCGGAGCCGCCUGCUCUAGCCUUCGGCGUCCAGCGGCGUUGUUUUGCGCUCCUCAGUGAAACGCUACCCCGCCGACGACCAGGCCAUCCCUCCACUCCGCACCUCCUGUUAUUCUCUGUCGAGUGUAGGCCCACCCCGCACCCGAACCAGUCAAGUUUCCCACUCCUCUCCAUCUGCGACUCCACUACCACGUCUUCCCCAUCUCCGGGUAGUUCCAGUCUGGGGCCUUGCCGUCAUCCACCACCUCAGUGCACUCGGCGCGGCGUGGUCAACAUACGAGAGUCAUCGGAAGAGGAAUGUACGUGGAGAGCCUGACGGCUAGGACCCACGAGGUCCAUGAUCGCAUGCAAGGAAAGUUCCUCCUUAUUACGCACUGUACGUGCACUGUACGUGGGAAGGGCUUCUGUAUUUCGCGAAAAAAACGUUCCCCCGCUGACAGGUCGGACCCACCAGCUAUAUCUUCGCACGCAAGGAAGUGCCUCCUUAUUAUGCACCAAAAAAUGAAUACCCCCUGCUAGCUGGGACCCACCAUAGUGGGUGGCUGACUUGUGGGCCUACUAAGUUGACGAGGAUAGAAGGCUUUGUCAACUUAGUCAAUAUGAACGAUUCUAGCUCCAGUGACCGUACGAUGUCCAUCCAACGGCCAUAGUGCUUCUUCAACCUCUGGUCUUCUUGCUCCAGCCGCCCAAAGCAGCGCCGGUCGUGCCGCGUGCUCCUGCCUCUCGUGGCCGACUGUGAUGCCGCGGAGGCCUCACCGCCCCCUACUACUCCCACCGCUGGCCCAGGGUAUCCCUCUACUCACCCACACCCCCUGUUAUUCUGGGGCGACAGCAGCCUCACGCUGCAGCCGAACCAGUGAACCCUCGUACUCCUCUCUGCAUGGGCAUCCACUGCCACGUCUUCCCCGGCUCUGUGUCGUCCCCUUCCUAAGCCUCGCCGUCGUCCACCGCCUUGGUGCUCUCGGCGCGGCGUGGUCAAUGUGGUCAACGACCGACUUCCAUCGGAAGAGUACAGUACGUGGAGGGUCCAAGGCCGCAGCCCUCUUUUUUAGUGAUUUGCCAAGUAAGUCGCUUUGUUAGGCCUGUUGGGCUGCAAAUCUUUUAAGACGAGGAGAGCUUCAUUCGGCUGGCCGAGAAAAUGGCCUAUCAGUAAUGAGAAAUGAGCUGUACAUUUUUAAAACACAUCAAACCGGCAAUUAGUUUCAAAUAUCUUUUUUUCAUUUCGAGAUUUUAAAUUACAUUAAUUUUUAUGCGUGAAGAAUUUGUUGGAUUUUAUAUUGAUAUACAUUUAUUUUUAAAAUCAGUUUGAAUGUGAGUCAAAAUUUCAGGAUUAAAAACAGUUCGGACCGCAUCGAAAUAUGCAAAAUUUCGUAUAAUUUUUUAACCGUGGCCACAGUAUGGGCUGUAAUGCUAACAAAAAGAAUAUGGGCUCCAAAAAAACCCUUAAGAAUUAGCAAAUGGGCUGUAAAUUAUUAGAAAUAAUGGCAGAUGGGUUGUAUGCUGUUUUCCACAGAUUUGAGGCUUUCAUAAAAAAAGGUUGACGCACAAGCAGUGACUGUUGGAUGUCCAUCCAAUGGCCGUCGUGCUUCUUCAAUCUCUGCUCUUCCUGCUCCAGCCGCUCAAACAAGCGCCGGCAGGAUUGCCUGCUUCCUCCUCCCGGCGGCCGGCUGUGCUGCCGCGCAGGCCUCACUGCCCACCGUACUCCCAUCGCUGGCCUAGCCAUCCCUCUACUCACCCACACCUGCUGUUAUUCUCCGGCGACGGCAGACGAACAAGUAAACCCUCGUACAGUCGUACUCCCCUCCACGUGGGAAACAACUACCGAGUCUUCCCUCCCUCUGUGUCGUUCCCUUCCUAGGCCUCGCCAUCGUCCACCGCCCUGGUGCUCUCGGCGUGGCCUGGUCAACGUGGUCAAUGACCGACAUGUAUCUGAAGUGGACUGUACAAGGAGAGGCUGAUAGCUGGGUCCACGGCCGCACACAAGGAAAUGCCUCCUUAUUAUGCGCAAAAUAAUGAUUCCUCCACCUGACAUUAGGGACCCACCGAAAGGGCCUUUGUAUUUCGCGAAAAAAACGUUACCGCCGCUGACAGCUCGGACCCACCAGCUAUAUCUUCGCACGCAAGGAAGUGCCUCCUUAUUACGCACAAAAAAUGAAUACUCCCCCUGUUAGCUGGGACCCAGUAUAGUGGCAGGCUGACUUGUGGGCCUACUAAGUUGACGGGGAUGGAGGGAUUUGUCAACUUAGUCAAUAUGCACGAUUCUAGCUCCAGUGACCGUACGAUCUCCAUCCAACGACCGUAGUGCUUCUUCAACCUCUGGUCUUCUUGCUCCAGCCGCCCAAACCAGCGCCGGUCGUGCCUCGUGCUCCUGCCUCCCGUGGCCGGCUGCAACGUGGUCAAGGAAUGGCUUCCAUCGGACAUGGACUGUACGUGGAGAGGUUGACAGCUAGGUCCACGGCCACAGCAAGGAAGUGCCUCCUUAUUACGCGCAAAAUAAUUAUUCCUCCACCUGACAGCAGGGACCCACCAGACGAGCCAUUGUAUUUCGCGUAAAAACGUUUCCCCCUGACUGCUGGGACCCACCAGCUACAUCUUCGAACGCAAGGAAGUGCGUCCGGGUAAAAAAACGAUUCGCCCCCCUGACUGCUGGGACCCACCAGCUACAUCUUUGCAGGCAAGGAAGUGCGUGACAGUCAGGACCCACCUGGUCGAAGCAUACGUAGGGUUGUCAUUCUGGUCGCGAACGUGUACGUACAUACUGGUCGUUGUAGAGGUGCGCACGUGUCGUAGUAGAGGCACGCACGUAGCAUGUACACGUACGUAUAGCAGCGAGGGUGCAAGAAACAAAAUACGGCCACGUACGUACAUACGGGCAGGGUCUCGAACGCCUACUCACGCAUACGUACAUGGCUGGGUCAGAACGGAGAAACAACAUCGUCGUCGUGUUCAUGGGGAGCCAAACGGCUGGGUCGGAACAGAAUGCGUGGUCGUGUUCAUCGGGAGGGCUUGGACGGAAUAGGCUAUGGAAACGAGGCCUGGCGUACCGCACAACGGAGGAAACGGACCUCCUACAUUCGGAACGGGAUCAUGUUGAUCGGGAGGGGUGUGGCGUACCACAAAACAGAGGAAACGGACCUCCUACGGUCAAAACGGGAUCAUGUUGAUCGGGAGGGGUGUGGCGUACCGCAAAAUGGACGAAACGGACCUCCUACGGUCAAAACGGGGGUCCUUUUGAUUGGGAGGGUGUGGCGUACCGCAAAACGGAUGAAACAGACUUGUGUUGGAGCGCUACGGUCGAAACGGGGGUCCUGUUCAUCCGGAGGGGUGUGGCGUACCACAAAACGGGACUCCAUGGGAUACUGUUCAUCUCCACCGUCGACCUCCUCCAGCCUCCACGNNNNNNNNNNNNNNNNNNNNNNNNNNNNNNNNNNNNNNNNNNNNNNNNNNNNNNNNNNNNNNNNNNNNNNNNNNNNNNNNNNNNNNNNNNNNNNNNNNNNNNNNNNNNNNNNNNNNNNNNNNNNNNNNNNNNNNNNNNNNNNNNNNNNNNNNNNNNNNNNNNNNNNNNNNNNNNNNNNNNNNNNNNNNNNNNNNNNNNNNNNNNNNNNNNNNNNNNNNNNNNNNNNNNNNNNNNNNNNNNNNNNNNNNNNNNNNNNNNNNNNNNNNNNNNNNNNNNNNNNNNNNNNNNNNNNNNNNNNNNNNNNNNNNNNNNNNNNNNNNNNNNNNNNNNNNNNNNNNNNNNNNNNNNNNNNNNNNNNNNNNNNNNNNNNNNNNNNNNNNNNNNNNNNNNNNNNNNNNNNNNNNNNNNNNNNNNNNNNNNNNNNNNNNNNNNNNNNNNNNNNNNNNNNNNNNNNNNNNNNNNNNNNNNNNNNNNNNNNNNNNNNNNNNNNNNNNNNNAUCGAGUUCAGCUAACAGCCAUCGAUCGUUCGCUCGGGUUCAGUAACGCGUAGCCUGCAGUGCAAUUGCUCGGGUUCAGUUAGAGCCCAACACCUUGCUCGGGUUCAGUUAGAGCCAACGCCUCGCACGUGUACGAGAGAAACUCACAUCGCUCGGCCCCCGACCUCCCACCGUAACCGGCAACUCCCCGAAAUUUUCCUCCCCCUCGCUUCUACCACGGUUUUUUCCGUCAUGGACGGCCCAAAGAAUGUCAUACAGCUGCAUCUCCGGCCUGCCCAGGACGAAAAGACCAUUUUCUGUCAUGAUUUUUGGUCAUAGAAGUAGGAGCCCACCACAUCUAUGAUGAUACCGGGUUUUGUCACAAUAAUCGUCAUAGAAGUGUCAUAUGUAUGACAGGAAAAAAAUUCGUUCGACCCAAAAUGUCACGGAUGUGUCUUUUUUUUGUAGUGUAUGUACUAGUAGUUCAUAUUGAAAUCUACUAAAGUACAUAUAUAUUCCAAACAAUAUGAUAUAAUCUCUACAACGAAGGUAGUAGGGAUGAGGAGUAAACGGAGGGAGUAGUAAAUUUUUCUCCUUGUCCUGCGAGCCACCGCGCGCAUGAGCGAGGGAACGGGCGUAAGGUGGACAGUACUAAGCAAGCUUCACCUCAUCCUACGAGCCACCACGCCCGUGGGUGGGGGAGACGGCGUACGAAGCAAGCUUCUCCUCAUUUCGCGAGUUGACGGGACACAUCAAAAGUACUCCAGUGCAUAGAGCCUUGCCUCUAAGGUAGGCCUACAUGGUUUGCCUCUUUUUUUAACAUAAUGCAUCAAAUCGCAAUUUGUUUGUUCACCCGUGGUAGACGAUCCUCCCUCCACCAAGUGGACAACCAGUACACGUGCCAAAUUACCACGUGGGCUGCCUUUUUCAUACAGAAAUGAGAUCCACCGUGUACCCGCGCGGCUGUAGUUGGGAAAGAGACGGGAGUACGUGCGCCAUGCAUGCACCUCUUAUCUUCGUGCACGUCCCCCGCCUACAUGGGUGUGUGAGAGAGAUACAAACCGCGUUCAUGAGUGUUUUUUGUUCUAGGGUGGGGGUGGGGGGUUGAUUUCGUGAAUGUAUUUGUGGGAAUAUGUGUCGAUGACAUCUCAAACAAAAUUUGCAUGCAUUGUGUGUGAAAUGGAGGCCUAUCAAUAUCAUAUAUAGAGGGUCGGGCAAUCCACGAGAAGAGAGGGAGGGGUCAUAGAUAUCGAUAGAGUCGAAGAGAGGAUCAAGUGGGUGUGUGCGAGAUCGAUGAAGAGAGCCAUCGAAAUUGUGUGUGUGUGCAAGUCAAAUAUAUAGGGCGACUGACCUACCGGAACGUCAGAGGGCACAUGUCAAGUUUGUGUUUGGCAGGGAGACAUGACUAGAGUGCUCGAUGUAUCGGUGUGGGGGGGAGGGGGUGGGGGGAUGGGUAGGCAGAGGCCUAACUAUAGAGGUAGAACGACUCGUAUAUGUGUUGAGAAGGAGAGACCCAGCUAUGUCUUGCGGGAGAUCGGUCGACAUCCAUACGUAACUGAAGGACAGGAAAUAUGAUGGGACAUAGAGAGAGAGAGAGGAUAGAGAGAGAGAGGGAGGGAGAGGGAGGGAGAGGGGUAGAGUGUUGGAUGGGUGAUGGAGUUGCUUCUCGAAGAUGGUGGGAGAGGCCUACUAGACAAACUGAGGGUGGAACUGCAAUGUUAUCAAUAAGAGUGGGGAUGUGUUUCUGUGUGUGCCUGUGUGUGAUAGAUCUGUCGGGACGCAUCCAUGGAUGAUGAAGGGGAACCGUGUGUUUCGUAAGCAAACCUAACUAGAUCGGUAGAUCAAUUGUUGUUUGUUGGAGGAAGGGAGAGACAUAACUAAUGAGGUAGACCGAUCGACGCGUGGGUAAAAACGAGUUAUAAGGACCUAGCUAGCUAUAUGUAUAGCGAGAGAUCGGUCGGUGUACGUCCAUUUGUUAGAGGCAAAUAAGGCUAAGCGAGACGGAUAGACAUAGAGAAUGGAUCUAGGAGGUGGUCUGAGAGGCUCAGCUACUAGCUAGAUAGGGGGAGGAGUGUGCGGUUGUGAGAUCGAUGAAAAGAGGAGCAAGAGUUUACACGUGUGUGUGACCGUAUGAGAGACACGAGGCAAGGGCACAUAAAGGAGGAGAUUGAAGGUGCAUGUGUAUGUUGUAGGCAGGCAUCGCUGGAGAGGUUUAUCAAUCAAUAUGUGUCGAAAAGGAGUUGUGGAGACUCUGGGAGAACAACCUAAAAAAAUGAAUGUGCCCGGUGGAUAGAAUGCCGAGGGAGGGGGAGGGCGAGGAGGGCGUGUGCAUGCACGAGAGUAAGUUAGUGGUAGCUACAAAGGUUAGAGGAUUGUGUGCGUGUAAGAGACUAACAAAGAUCGUAAUUUGAUAUGAAAGCGGAUUCAUAUAUUUGAAUAGGAGAUCAUAGUGUUUUAAACAUAUGCAUGCGUGAAUAUAGCGGUGAUACACGUGAUGUGCACAUGUUAUACCAUAAUGUGAUAAUGCAUGGCGUUUGCAACUCACAGCUAAAUGUCGAACAAUCUAAACCAUACUAUACAUCAAACAAUCUCAAAUAAAAAAUGUCGAACAAUCUAAACCAUACUAUACAUCAAACAAUCUCACAUUUUAUUUGAAUUUGUGAUAAUGUGUGUAGUCUGCAGGUUACAACUAAAUAUCGAACAAUCUAAACAAUACUAUAUAUCGAACAUUCUCAUAUUUUAUUUGAAUUUAUGGUAAUGUGUGGUGUUUGCAACUCACAUCUAAAUACUUGUAGGCGUAGGGGGCGGGGCACCAUACAUAAUGUGGUAAACACAUUAUACAUCCGAGACAUGGUUUAGAUUAUGAAGAUCUAGCUAGAGCUAGAAAUGUAAUGUGAUUUGAAAUCAACAUAAAGUGGAUUCAAAAAAUUGAGUUCGAGUCAAUAUAGUACACAUAGUUCAUAUGUAACUCGAGACUAAUCUUUUGGUGUGCUGUGAAGAUAAUACACAAAUGAUGGUUUAACUUGACAAUAAUGAUGAUUGUAGAUCUUAUUAAAAUAGAGAAACGAAUUCAAAUGCUUUGAUUUCACAACAAUCAUUACUGUAGAUCUUAUUCAAAUAGAGAAACGAAUUCAAAUUUAGUUCAUAUUGAAGCGGUAGUAUAUACGUUUGGAAUGCACUAAAACAUUCAUUUGAGUUGUAGGUUGCAUGCAUUAUACACGUAGCGAAAUAUCUAUCUAUAUAUCUAUUAUAUACUUAAUACAAAAGACAAAUAAGACACCACGUUCUUCCAUAUAAGCUAAAAUAAUAUACAUCGUUGAUUACUUAUUUACGGUCGAGAUUCAAAGAUAUUACGUUACGCACAGAAAUUAUAUAUGUUGAACCGACACGUACAAGGUGCAUACAUAAGAAGUUGCAAAACAAAGAAAAAAAAUAAAACUACAACUAUGUUUUUCUAAAAAAGGUUGCCGGAGACAAACAUAUGCACGUGUUAGAGUCCAGCACAUGUAUGGGGUGGAAGCGUUGCAAGUCCUAAAUAGUAUAGGAAAGAAAAGAAGGGAGAAAAAAGUGCUGCUACGUACGUAUAGAAACCUACAACUAUUUUUUUUAAAGGUAAUCGGAGAGACACGCACGUGUUAGAGUCCAACACACAUACACAUACGGGGUGGCAGCGUUGCAUGUCCUAAUCGGACAGAAAAGAAGGGAAAAAGAAGUGCCGCCAGUUCUACAAAAAAAAGUGCUGCCAUGUAUACGUGCUACAAGCAAAAAAAUGUGCUGCCAGUUCUAAAAAAAACAGAAAAAAGUGCUGCCAUGUAUACGUGCUACAAGCAACCAAAAAACAGCAAUUAUUGCUGAGAUAAAAUUUGUAAAGGAUCCAUGUUGGAUGCGCUGUUAUAUCACCUCUCUCUUCAUCAUCUCUUUAAAUAAAGCCCAGUAAUUAAAUUAAAUACUCCGGAUCUGUUUUUCAAAAAAAAGAGUCACGCCAGGUCUUAACCAAGAAGAAGCAAUAUCAUGCUCUUAAUACAUGAAAAAAAAUACAUGGAUGAUAAGUAAACAAAAAGGCUCACGUUAAUACCUUUGCAGGGAUUUUUUUGCAUGAUCCUAGAAAGAGGAUGUGUUUCUUUUUCAAAAUUUCAAAAAGAAUAAAAUGGAAAUAUCAACGGUGGCCUACGUAUUAAGUUAGACAGAAUCAUCUCAUUGAUCAGUUAUAUCCUGGACACUAAUUAUAAUGGUCCGACCUAAAGACACCAUAUCAUAAAAUUAGAAGUUCUUUAGACCAAAGUCACUCCGGAUAUGUUUCUCAAAAAAAGUCACACUGGAUCUUAACCCAAAAGUAGCAAUAUCAUGCUCUUAAUACAUGGAUGAUACUAAAAAAACGGAUCACAUAAAAAUACCUUUGCAGGGAUUUUUUUUUCUCCAUGAUCCUAAUAAAGGAUCUAUUUCCUUUUCACAAUUCCAACAAUAAAAUAGUAAAUAUCAACUGUGGCAUACGUAUUCAGUUAGACAGAAACAUCUCAUUGAUCAGCUAUAUCCUGGACACUAAUUCUAAUGGUCCGACCUAAAGAAAAUAUAUCAUAAAAUAUUCAUGUGAAAAAACUAGGAUUCUGAAACGCACGACAACAAGGAUUAGCAGGUCGGAUCAAUUACAUGUGCUGAUCUAAUGGCGAUAUCAUGGAUCACCUCAGUAAAUGGAACAUCUGUCAUGUUUCUUCUUCCAUCGGGCACGGUCUAAAGCAGUGUGUUCAUGUAGGAAACAAAAAUUAGAGAACCAUUGAGUUGUUUGUUCGACCGGCUUCAUAAGCUGUACAUGACAACAAACUUUAACUAACAUUUAAUGUAUGCAUUGGUGACACAAGUUGCAUAAUAAAUCUAUUAGCCAGAAGGCCAUCUCGAGCAAUUGGCAAACGUACUGGAUACAUGCAAUGGCAUCUCACUGAAUAUACCUUGCAAAAAAAACUAAUAUAUCACCAUAUAGAAUUACCAAUUUUUGUAUCAAUUAAAUGGAUGAAUAUGAAAAAAAUAUAUCACCAUAUAGUGCUUCGGAUGUAUCGACACCAGCUACAAUGAUAGGGGCUGAGUCUAUGAACUAGUGUGUCAUCAAAAGGAUGUAACAUUGUGUCCUGCCAGCAAAUAUAAGAGUUGGAACACAAAUCAUGUCAAGUAUGUGAUAAGUUUCUUAGUAUGCCUAAGAAUACAACUAGAUGUGAAUACCAUUCAUGGACAUGAUCAUAAAAUAUACGAGUUGUUUGGAGAUUUAUGGAGCUGUAAUGAUUUAGAAUAUUUCCAUGAGCGUGCCCCAGUAAAACACACUGUUAGAUAUCCAGGCCAUAACACAUAUUUCAGAUGAACGCAUAUUAUAAACGAAAUAUUUCACGGCUCAUGAGUCUGUGAGGAAGAAAACAUAUGUUUAGAUUAUGUUCUUUGUCCUCAAAUCCCAGAAAGAUACUUUGGAAAUAUUGUAAUAAGCUGCCUUCAGUAUCCAAUUAUACAUGUGUGUGCUCAAACUUUACUAACAUUGUCAAUUUUAGUAAAUAUAAAAAAUCAGGUUAGUCAACAAAAAUGUAUAGUUUUAUUUUUCAUGGAUUAUUUCUUUGUACGAACAUCCAUAGACAAAAUAAUUGCCAGAAUUAUGUACCAGAAAAACUCAAAAUCUAAGAUGAUGUAUAUAACAGUAUGUAAGCUGAGCAAACACACAUCACAUUAAAAAAAGAAAAAAAAAAAGGUCUACAACUAUCUCCAUUAUUAGAUAGUUGACUUAGUCCAAUAAUACAUGUCACAAAGUGCAAACAUUAUAUCUGUGCGUAUAUGUACAUAAUAUAAUUUGUGUGUCACAAAUAUUUUAGACAUGAUAAAAUCAUUUGGUAAUCUACAAAGGUGCAUAUUUAUACAAUAAUAAUUAGCAAAUCUAUCCGCUGAAGAACAUAUGUAAAUACGAAAUGGCAACUUUGACAAUACUUAAUCUAGCCGCACAAAUGCGCGGGUCACACUGCUAGUUAUAUACUUAAAACGAUAGAAAACGAACGAUGAAGAUUUAUCUCUUUAGAGCUAUGAUUUUGAACGGCCUAGAUUUAACAGCCCACGUAAUAGAGUUUAACCACCACGUGCUAAAAUCAAACCUGCCUAAAUAAACCAAUUCUACAAGUUUGGCACGUGUAUUGUUUACCAAAGGUGGUCAACGUGAGUCCGUAAAGGACACGCUAAAAAAGAUACAAACAGGCACCAAGCCAGCCCAAGCACGUAGGUUCCCGAAAACUUAAAAGGAAACCACGUAGCUGUUUAAAAAAACAUAUAGGUUCCGAGAAAAGUAAAUACGUACGAAGUAUAUAUCCACUACAAACUUCCGUGAAGGACUCAAAUUUGUAACAGGGCAGCACAUGUAUGUAGAAAAAAAAAGCAAAUACGUGCAUGCAUGUAGAAACCGUUCUCUGCAUACACGCUUUAAAACAUCUGUGGAUGGCUACAGGGGUGCAGGGCAUUGUGACGCCCCCGAUUUAAUCGUACACUAAUCAUGCACGCAAAUGUGUACGAUCAAGAUCAGGGACUCACGGGAAGAUAUCACAACACAACUCUAAAACAUAAAUAAGCCAUACAAGCAUCAUAAUACAAGUCAGGGGCCUCGAGGGCUCGAAUACAACUGCUCGAUCAUAGACGAGUCAGCGAAAACAACAAUAUCUGAGUACAGACAUAAGUUAAACAAGUUUGCCUUAAGAAGGCUAGCACAAACUGGGAUACAGAUCGAAAGAGGCGCAGGCCUCCUGCCUGGGAUCCUCCUAAACUACUCCUGGUCGUCGUCAGCGGGCUGCACGUAGUAGUAGGCACCUCCAGUGGAGUAGGAGUCGUCGUCGAAGGUGGCGUCUGGAUCCUGGGCUCCAAUGUCUGGUUGCAGCAUCCGAGAAGAAGAGGAAAACGAGGGAAAGAGGGAGCAAAGCAACCGUGAGUACUCAUCCAAAGUACUCGCAAGCAAGGAGCUACACUACAUAUGCAUGGGUAUAUGUGUAAAGGGCCAUAUCAGUGGACUGAACUGCAGAAUGCCAGAAUAAGAGGGGGAUAGCUAAUCCUGUCGAAGACUACGCUUCUGGCAGCCUCCGUCUUGCAGCAUGUAGAAGAGAGUAGAUUGAAGUCCUCCAAGUAGCAUCUCCAGGUAGCAUCUCCAGGUAGCAUCGCAUAGCAUAAUCCUACCCGGCGAUCCUCUCCUCGUCGCCCUGUGGAAAAGCGAUCACCGGGUUGUCUGUGGAACUUGGAAGGGUGUGUUUUAUUAAGUAUCCGGUUCUAGUUGUCAUAAGGUCAAGGUACAACUCCAAGUCGUCCUGUUACCGAAGAUCACGGCUAUUCGAAUAGAUUAACUUCCCUGCAGGGGUGCACCAACUUACCCAGCAUGCUUGAUCCCAUUUGGCCGGACACACUUUCCUGGGUCAUGCCCGGCCGCGGAAGAUCAACACGUCGCAGCCCCACCUAGGCUCAACGGAGAGGCCAGCACGCCGGUCUAAACCUAAGCGCGCAGGGGUCUGGGCCCAUCGCCCUGAGCACACCUGCACGUUGCGUACGCGGCCGGUGAGCAGACCUAGCAACCUCCAUUACAAAGGAAGUUGCGUUAACGCAGUCCAACCCGGCGCGCGCCGCUCAGUCGCUGACGUCACGAAGUGCUUCGGCUGAUACCACGACGUCGGGAUACCCAUAACUACUCCCGCGUAGAUGGUUAGUGCGUAUAGGCUCGUAGCCAACUCAGAUCAAAUACCAAGAUCUCGUUAAGUGUGUUAAAUAUCCGCGAACGCCGAACAGGGCCAGGCCCACCUGUCUCCUAGGUGGUCUCAACCUGCCCUGUCGCUCCGCCACAAAGAUCCACACAGAGGGCCGUCGGGACAAAGGUCCUUUUAGCCCCCAAUCCGUGAAUCACUCGCGGGUACUCUUCCAGCUGACCCGACUUUAGUCACCAUCUGUAUAGUAUGUAAGUAUGUAUAAUAUAUUACCCGUGAUCACCUCCCGAGUGAUCACAACCCUAUAGUAUAGCAAGGCAGACUGACAAGAAUGUAGGGCCAAAGGUGAUAAACUAGCAUCCUAUACUAAGCAUUUAGGAUUGCGGGUAAGGUAUCAAUGACUGUAGCAGCAAUGAUAGGCUAUGCAUCAGAAUAGGAUUAACGGAAAGCAGUAACAUGCUACACUACUCUAAUGCAAGCAGUAUAGAGUAGAAUAGGCGAUAUCUGGUGAUCAAGGGGGGGGCUUGCCUGGUUGCUCUGGCAAGAAGGAGGGGUCGUCAACUCCGUAGUCGAACUGGGCAGCAGCAGCGUCGGUCUCGUAGUCUACCGGACAGAAAAGGGGGGGAAGAAACAAUGAAUACCAUGUAAACAGAUGCAUAUCGAUGCAUGACAAGACAAGUAACGAUGCUAGGCGGGCCCUAACGUGGUAUGAGGUGAUGCCGCUUAAGGGGGGAAACAUCCGGGAAAAUAUCCCCGGUGUUUCGUGUUUUCGGGCAGAGGAGCCGGAGGGGGAAAGUUGCGGGUUCGAUAGGUUAGGGGUGUGCGGCGGACGAACGGACUGCGUAUCCGGAUUCGUCCCGUCGUUCUGAGCAACUUUCAUGUUGAAAAUAUUUUAAUCCGAGUUACGGAUUAAAAGAUAUGAUUUUCUAAAGAUUUUAUUAAUUUCUGGAAUUUAAUUAAUUAUUUAAUUAAUUCGAAAAAUGGAUUUAUGACGUCAGCAUGAUGUCAUGCUGACGUCAGCAGUCAACAGAGUUGACUUGGUCAACCUGACAUGUGGGUCCAGUGGGACCCACCUGUCAUUCUCUGUUUAGGUUAAUUACAGAUUAGUUAAUUUAAUUACUAUUUAAUUAACAUAACUAGUUAAUUAAAUUAAUUAAACCGGAUUAAUUAACUUAAUUAAUUCAUUAGAUAAUUAAUUAUUUAAUAAUUAAUUUUAUUAAAUCAUUUUUUUUAUUUAUUAUUUUUAUUUUUAAUUCCUUUUUUUAUAAAACAUUAUGGGCAUGGGGCCCAUCUGUCAUAGACCCCAGGGGCCUUAGCGGGCGCCGGGUACUGGGUGCAGGCGCCACCCGAAUGGGCGCUGGCGCUGGGCGCACCCGAGCGGUCGCUGGGCGACGGGCACCAGCCCGCCCGGCAAGGCACAUCGGGGCGAGGCCAUGGCCGGCUGCGGGCGCGGGAGCAGCACGGAAGGGGGCUGCGGGCGAGGCCAGGGCGAGUGGGAGCGCGGUNNNNNNNNNNNNNNNNNNNNNNNNNNNNNNNNNNNNNNNNNNNNNNNNNNNNNNNNNNNNNNNNNNNNNNNNNNNNNNNNNNNNNNNNNNNNNNNNNNNNNNNNNNNNNNNNNNNNNNNNNNNNNNNNNNNNNNNNNNNNNNNNNNNNNNNNNNNNNNNNNNNNNNNNNNNNNNNNNNNNNNNNNNNNNNNNNNNNNNNNNNNNNNNNNNNNNNNNNNNNNNNNNNNNNNNNNNNNNNNNNNNNNNNNNNNNNNNNNNNNNNNNNNNNNNNNNNNNNNNNNNNNNNNNNNNNNNNNNNNNNNNNNNNNNNNNNNNNNNNNNNNNNNNNNNNNNNNNNNNNNNNNNNNNNNNNNNNNNNNNNNNNNNNNNNNNNNNNNNNNNNNNNNNNNNNNNNNNNNNNNNNNNNNNNNNNNNNNNNNNNNNNNNNNNNNNNNNNNNNNNNNNNNNNNNNNNNNNNNNNNNNNNNNNNNNNNNNNNNNNNNNNNNNNNNNNNNNNNNNNNNNNNNNNNNNNNNNNNNNNNNNNNNNNNNNNNNNNNNNNNNNNNNNNNNNNNNNNNNNNNNNNNNNNNNNNNNNNNNNNNNNNNNNNNNNNNNNNNNNNNNNNNNNNNNNNNNNNNNNNNNNNNNNNNNNNNNNNNNNNNNNNNNNNNNNNNNNNNNNNNNNNNNNNNNNNNNNNNNNNNNNNNNNNNNNNNNNNNNNNNNNNNNNNNNNNNNNNNNNNNNNNNNNNNNNNNNNNNNNNNNNNNNNNNNNNNNNNNNNNNNNNNNNNNNNNNNNNNNNNNNNNNNNNNNNNNNNAGGAGGCGUGCGGGGACGGGUGACGGGGUCAGGCCUCUCCCCUUAUCCAGAUGGGAUCGAGAGGAGAGGGGGCAGAGGGAGUGGCGUCGUGGGGAGGGGAAGUGGGUGACGGGGUGGUUAGGGUUUCGGGGGGGAAUGGAUAAGGGGAGGGGGGUGGCCGGUUGGGCCUACACCCGAAUGGGCCGGCCAACGAGGCCAGUAGGCCGUGGGAGGGGGUUCCCUCUUUUUUUUUGUUUUGUUAGUUUCUUUCUUUUAUUUAUUUUCCUUUUCUGUUUUUAUUUAUUUUAAAAUACUUAGGCAGUUUAUAAAAUUGUCUUUAUUACACCAUAUUGACUUAUGUAAAAUAUGGCAUCUCCCGAACACUUUUGUUUUAAAUUUUGAAAAACUUUUAUUGUUUGCUUUGAUUUUGAAAUUUGAAUUCGAACGGGAUUGAAUCAUCGCGAGGUUUACAACAGUAAGAGUGGUGAUGAGGCAUCAUUAGCAGAGGUUACUGUAGCUUGAUUAUCCGGGCAUCACAAUUCUUCUCCACUACAAGAAAUCUCGUCCCGAGAUUUAGGAGGGGAGUAAGGGGGAAGAAUAGGUUACGAAAUUCUAACGAUUCUUCUCGGUCUUGGUUGCUCUUCUCGAAGUGGUCGAUCCAUAGCGCUGAUGUCUUCAUUCCUAUGCAUCAAUGCAUCAUGAUGAGGUUGUCGUCCUUUCUUCAGGAACUCCAUCGUACUUACGAUAAUGAUAAGGGGUAACUACUGAAGAACGGACCUUCAAGGUCAACUACCUAGCAGAUAACUGAGAGAAUGUGGUAGAAGUAACUCUCGAAUAGAUACUUAAGAAAUUAUCGAGAGUAAAGUAAGAAGGUACCAUGAGAAGUUUCAAACGGGUAGGCAAUCGUUCGAUGUCUGAAACAACAUGCGAAAGGGGUCCAAAGCAACGAGAUUGAAUAUUGCAUCUGUUUCCAGAAUAGAUCACUAGGAAGGUGGCUCGCGAAUUACACACAAAGCCAAGCGUGAGUAUUGACUUUGGGAAAGGGGGUACAGGAGGGUCAGGUUUCGAUCCUGUGGAACUGUGGGUUAUGGGCCCACCAUGUGGGUUAAAAGUAGGAAAGGCAAUGACGUCUUGCACAAUCAUGUAAGCAAGGCAUGUUAGAGGAUAGCCUGACAGUUAUGUCGGCAACAAUGUCGGUACCAAGGGCGAGGGACGAAGAGAACCAUCUUCCUGCUCGUUGAACGAGGCGGACCAAUAGGCAAAGUUCUCGUCCAUCGAUGGUUACCGGAAUGUCAUCACCAAAAUAACAGGGUCUUUCUGACAGCAUUGUACACCGAGGUGUUUACAAAAGUAGGAGAAUAUUACUGCUUAGAUCUCAUAGAUCACAAGAAAGAUUAGACCAAACAAUGGAAAGGAAGAUAUGAUUAUCGGAUUUAACCAGAUCAAUGGAAAGGAAAAAUGUGUUUAAACACAUUUUCCA
This 64837-nucleotide long non-coding RNA is filed under the name Triticum aestivum (bread wheat). Its description in RNAcentral is "long non-coding RNA (TAES_LNC016909)". The record is from RNAcentral. Lineage: Eukaryota; Viridiplantae; Streptophyta; Magnoliopsida; Poales; Poaceae.